This 53531-nucleotide long non-coding RNA is filed under the name Malus domestica (apple). RNAcentral describes it as "long non-coding RNA (MDOM_LNC004829)". The record is from RNAcentral. Lineage: Eukaryota; Viridiplantae; Streptophyta; Magnoliopsida; Rosales; Rosaceae.
CAAAAGUUGUGUUCCACUCCUGCAUCAGGGACAAAUACUACAAGAGAUUGAAGCAAAAAGAUUAAUGAUGAGCUAAAACAGAUCACUAUAGCACGAUGCCCUUCCCUGCAGAACCACAUAAUCCAGAUGGAAGAGUCUAAGUCAAAUCCAAGCUCGGCAUUGUUGCUCUAAUCAAAGGGCUCAAAAAGUUCAACAGCCUUUCGAUGGCACUGUCGCCAAAAAGCAAAGCCUCGCCGUGUAACGUUGUCAAAUCGCCACCACUUCUUCGAAAGCAAGAGUAUCUCAUAUCAUGCUUUCUCCUUGUCAUUUUAUUUGUCCUUGUUCUUACCUGUAGGACAAAGAGAAAGAGAGCAAUCAGUUGGAACUUGAAGUCAAACUUCCAGUCAGGAACCGACUGCCUGGAACCCUUCCCUGAUUGCUUACCUAGCAUCGCUCUGCCGGAGAAAUGGACAAGGUAGCAAAAGAUACCACAUCUUCCUGAAGAACAGAUAAGGCAAGUGAAAAUGAUACAUUGAAGCAUGUGGAAACAAGCACAACCAAACACGUGCUGAUUUAUCCGCUACUUCUUUAAAAGCAAAAAUAUCUCAUAUCAUCAGGGUUGCAAGUACUCUAGAUUUGGCGGACUUGUUUUGACCCUCAAAUUCUUAAGACGACUCACUAAGGCGUUGUGAACUUCAUGUACCGAUUCAGCACCCUUGAAUUAAAUCUUUCAAGAUCAAGCCACCAACGGCCCUUGAAGAAAUCACAAGUCUGAUUCAAGAUCAAGUGUCCACCACCCUUGAAUCAAAUCCAGUUCAAGAUUAAGUUUGUGGAAAGUAAAUUCAGACCCUUGAAGGAAACCAGAAAACCCUCCAGCCCGGUUCAAGAUUAAGCCUGUGGAAAAUCAACAAUUGGAGGAAACCAAAAAAUCUUCCAGCCAAAUUCAAGAUCAAGCCCCGAAAGUCCUUGAAGAAACUCCCAACCCAAUUUAAGAUCAAGCCUCGACGGCCCUUAGAUCAACAUCUACAUUAAGGGACUUCAAAACGCAUCUUCUACAUGUGACAAGCACAUGUAUACGACGCGCCUUGAAGUGGGGGUAUUUGUAGAUAACGAAAUUUCGGUAAAUAAAUCUUCACCAACGCAUUAAAGUUUUGACGUGUCAUGGCAUACAUAGGAUACGCCAAAUGUCACACAAUUACACAUGGCAUGUGACUCAACAAAUUGGAAGAAAUACCCUUUGAGGAUUAAACAAGUAUUUUUCUUCUCAUUUUUGGGCAAUGACAAGGCAAACACACUUCAAUCCAUUAUGGAUGAAAACAAGUUUUUCUUCUCAUUUUGGGCAAUGAAAAGGUAAGCACAUUUCAAUCCAUUACGGAUCAAAACAAGUUUUUCUCAUUUGGGCAAUGACAAAGCAAACACACUUCAAGUUUAAAUGGUAUGAAGUGGGAAAUUAGGCCAUAUGUUAGACCACUUCAAUUUCAAUAUUGCAUUAAGUGGGAAAUUAGGCCAUAUGAUAGACCACUUCAAUUUCAAUAUUUCAUUAAGUGGGAAAAUUAGGUAAUGGUGCUUAAGUAGGAAAAUUUUGUGGUGGUGAUUCAUUCUCAAAGCCUAUAAAUAGGCUUCUCCAUCAAGGUAUCAAGGAUCCUAACUACAAACACCAAUUCACAUCACACAAACACCUUGAAGCUUUGAAACUCUAAAGCUCUCAAGAAAAUCCCGAAGGAUUAAGAAAGCCCUAUUCGUUCUUCGUCAAAUCCUCCUUCAAGAUCAAGCACCAACGGCUCUUGAAGAACUUCCACCAAUUCAAGAUCAAGCUGAUAGGAGCAUAUUUAUGUGACUUAGUUAGCUUGUUUUUUUGCAUUUAUGUUGUUAGUUCAUAGUUAUUUUAGUAUUUUAAGCUAUUUUCGUGUGUUUGUAGGUCCAAAGGGCUAAAGUAUCAAGAAAGUGCAAUUUGGAGCAGUUUUGGGCUUUGAAUGGAUAGCACAUGCAUGGAGCAAGGUUGAUGGAUGAAUUUGAAGACCAAAAGAGGCUAGGAUUAUGCUGAAGUUAUGAAGAAAUUAAUUCAAGAAAAGGAAGUAAAGGAUGCAAGCAAGAAAGAAGGAAUGUUAGCCAAAGUUACCUUAUUUUGUCCUAAACUUUCCUAAUCCUUCACCACUUAAUUUCCAGCUGCAAAAGAGGAUCCUUAAUUAUUUUAGGACACUUAAAUAAUGAUUCUAGAAGGCCUAAACCCAUUCCUAUAAGGUGCCACACCACCUUUCCUUUGCCGUGCAAGGUAAACCCUUUCCCCUUUUCUUUUCCUUGCCGCAUAUCCUUUUCCCUUUCUCUCUUGGAUUCUGGUUUUAAUUAGCCUUAAUUCCCUAGGGUUUUGCCGUGCCCUGAUAUAUAUUUAUGUGUAUGUGCCGCUUAAGAAUCACCCAUCACCCAUCACGCCUCAUCCAUCCACACAUCCCAUCCUUAUCAUCCACUCACUACCAUUCAUACUUUCAGCCCUUUUUUCAUACAAUUCAUCACUCAAACCUUCACCCACACCUUGUGCCGCAAUAAAGAAGAAGAAGGAGGACCCUUGGAUGUGCUUGCCAUUCAAGCUUGGAUUGCUAGAACAUUUUUAGGUUUAAUCCAUCUUUUGUUUUCAAUGUUUAAGUUUAAUUAUCUUUGUUUUGCGAAUAGGAUGAGCUAAACUCGUUUUAGCUAGGGGACAUUCAAAGCCAUGAACAUAUUUGCAAUAUGAAUUGAUUACUUGGAGUUGUGAUUCUAUAAAUCGUGAAUGAAAUUUACUUAACUGUUUGAUUCAAAACUCAUUCUUGUAUGUUGAUGAAGGGUGCACACUUAGUUUGCAUGCCUAAAUUUGAUGCUAGAAUAUAAGGGAGUUUCACCUAAUUGUUAUGAACUUAUAUUCAUAAGUAGUGGAGGUUGCUAGUCACAAUCGUGUUAAGUAGAUUCCUGGCAGGGGUAUCAUUCUUUUCAUAGUUACGAAUGCCUCGUUAAUGCUUAUGAUUUUCACAAAGCUUAAUGAUCUUUGAUUGUAUCUCUAUUAUGCUAUUCAUGUAGGGGGCUAUUGAAGAAUAAUUUGGUUGUCGAUGCGUUGUCCAUCCAAUUCAAUGACUUAAGGAAAAUCAGAGGGUUAAUUAGUGUUGUUCAUGGUUAAUCUGGAGCGUUGAGGUUCAUGGUUUCUUGGAAAAGCAAUUGGAAAUUGAUUUGUGUGCAAGUGUGUCAUGUGUGGAGAAGAACCCUCUAGAUAGCCAAUCACCCAUAUUUUGCCCUAAUUUCGUCCUAAACUUGCUUAAGUCCUUAAUUUACUUGUCUUUACUUUAAAUUCGUCAAAAACCCAAUCCCUUUUACUUUGUUGUGUCAAAUUAGUUAGAAUCUAUCCAAACUUGUGUUUUUAAGUAUUUUGAGUUAAGUUAAAAUCAUUUUUCGUCCAAAUCACCCUUCAGUGUCUAGUUUGAGUCUAUUUGAUUAUUUUGUGUUGUUUUGAGUCUCUUUAGUUUGUUUUGAGUUCUUUGAGUCUAGUUAAGUGUUUUCAAGCCUAGUUUUGUGUUUUUAAGUCAGUUUUAAGUAGAUUAGCAAUCCCUCCUAAUCCCCGGCCUAGAACGAUCCCUACUUACAUCUUUACUACAAUUGUCAAUAAGAGGGUUUAAUUUGAGUGCUAGUUUAUAUCACAUCAAAUUCGCCUCAGGGAUUUCCAAUGAAAUAUGACACAUUAAAAAUCACUACUCACAUAUAUUUUAGCCAUCCUUACCCUCGAGCACACACUUAAUCAUAGUCACCAUUCACUAGCUCACAUUUAAUCAAUUAAAACAAUGUUUUGAAUGGAGUAACAUGCCUUCGAGAAUUCCCUCAAUUCCUCACCGGAUAUACUCUCUAUUUUCACAUAGAUUUUCUGACUACACUCCCUAUACUAGGUAUAUGUGAGAAGAUUGAUGUAAACAUGUAGACUGGUACUCACAUAUGUUUUAAACAAAGAAGGCAAUUUCUGGAAUUAUCAAUAUAACAUGUAUAUGAUCUCAUGAACGGAAUGUUACUACUUAGAAGCAAGAACCAGGGAUUUCAUAUGCUCAUACCAAUUUCAAACUCCACAUAUUGAAACACAUAACCAGCAAGAUUGAAGUCUAAGGGUUGUAACGGGGCUAGGGUAUUGUUUAACAAAGAAAGGUUAAGGAUAAAAAAAGGUUCUUAAAGCGAUAGUAAGCAAAGUAAUGAAGUUGACACUUAGAAUUCACUUUUGAAUGUAAAAACCCACUUUAAGCAUAAAGGGAAGAUUCACAAAACACUUAGGGCCAGAUUCACACUUUUGGACCCUUUCUUCAACAACCAAUACUUGUGAGUUCAUUCUCACUUAUUUUGAACUCUUUUCCUUUCUUUUUCUUUUCUUUUUCACGAUUUUUUUAUUUAUUUUUAUUGGAAAUAACCUUCCCCCACACUUGUUUUCUGCAAUAAUGUCACUCAAAAGGAAUUCCCUCUAAGUCAUGCUCCACUAUACUUUAAGAACAAGGGUAUGGAUAGUCCUAUUCUUGGCUAGGUAGGGAUAAUGUGGCUAACACAGAAAAUAGGCUAAAUAAGGCUCAAAGGGGUUAAACCUACAAAACAAAUGCAUGGGAUGAAGGCUUUUUGGCUCUGGUGGUAACUACUAAACAACUUCAUCUUGUUAUAUGUUAUGCACUCAAUUUUAAGCUUUGAAUGAAACGGGUAUGAGUUCUAGUAUUUGGAACUAUAAUCAUGAAAAACACAUUCUAAGUAGCAACCAAGUAAAGAAACAAUGAGAUCACGCAACAACUUUAGAAAACAAAAAUCACAGAUUAAUAACUCUCCAAACAAAGUUUAGGCUCAAGUCUCUCAGGGUUGUAGCAUUAGUUUGAGUUCCUUCCUGCAAGCAUGUUACAAAAACUGAUUUUUUUCCUUUGUGAUUACAUGUGAAUUCGUAAACGUCAACUACAACCAAGUAUUAACCAAAGAGCAUAUCAAACUUCUACCCAUGUUUGUAACGUUCUUUAAUAGUCAUGCAAUUAAAAACCAAAUCCUCAUCAUUAUGUUGGAAGGUACCCUAGGACACAAACAAACACACAAAAACGACUAUUUUUGGGUUUUUCAAAACUUUUUCAAUUUUUUUCUCAAAUUUUCGUAUUGCCACAUAAAAACACUUCAAAACACACUAAAAACACUUAAAAACAGUGAAAAACAACUCUAGAGGUGCUAGGUGGUAAAAUCCCACGAAAAUCAAUGAAAAACACUUGUUCCCCCCCCCCCCCCCGGCCACACUUAAACCAAACAUUGUCCUCAAUGUUUCACAUAAAGACCCACACUCAAGCAAGCAAACAACAUAACUAACAAUCAUGACAAAUAUGGCAAAGUAAAAGCAAUUAAAGAGUUAGGAAUGCAAAUCUGGUUAUGGAGCAAUUCUUAGGUCUUCUUUGAAUGCAUGGGUUGCCUCCCAAAAAGCACUUGCUUUAACGUCUUCCAGCCGAACGAUACCUUCUUUUAAGCUCCAUCAAGGCCCACGACAUGGAGUUGAUCUUUGAAUGGAAGGUGAUACUUGAAAUGAUUCAGCAAUGGUUUAAAUUCUAGAGUAGGUGCCUGAAUCAUCAACAAUCUGUUAGUAGAAAACAAAAUUGAAAUUUGGGGAAAUGGCUUACCUGUGUGCUCCAACAAGAACUCAAGGAUAAACACCGCUUCUUUGAAAGUUUCAGGAACUUUGCACUCGGCCAGAUUUGGUGUGAAUGUUGUAACAUGUCAUGUGUCAUAAAAUCCAACUUCUUUGGGGUUGGUUGUCUCAAGUUCAUCCUCUUUGAUGAAUUCUUGAUAUCCCCUAACCACUUCUUUCUCUUGAAUCAUUCUUCUUGUUGUACAAAGUUCUUUGAACAAUUCAACACAUUCUGGAACUUGUUUUGUUGUACCAAGAAUUGGGAUAUUACUUUGCACUUUUGGAAAGGUUUCCAAGAUGUCUUUUUCACUCUCCUCUUCCUUGGAUUGCAAAAACCUGCGAAGAAAAGGUACAUUUGGUGGAACGAGGUUAGAAAGAAUUGAAUUUGGAACAACCUUACCUGAAUUGAAUGGUGGUUGAGCUUUGAGAGGCUGCGGCAAGGGUUGUUCUUCCCUUGCCGUGGCUUUGUCUUCAUUCUCUUCUUCGAGCAUUAACUGUUUGUCUACUUCUACGCUAUGUUUAGACAUCUUUAGUUUAGCUCCAACUUCCAUACCACUUCCUAAAGUGAUGGCUUUAGCGAUUUCAAAAUCUCCCUUUGGAUUGACAAUGGUUGAGCUAGAGAGUUCACUUUGUUUUUGAAUUUGCCCUAUGAAUUCCAUCAUCUCUCCAAGUUGAUUUUUCAAUUCGCUCAUCUUUUUAGCUUGGUUUUGUAAGCCUGCAUCAAUUGUGUAAAAGAAAUUAGUACAUCAAGAGUUUUAUCAUUAUCCAUUGAUGUACCUGAAUUUGGUUGGGCAUAUUGUUGGGGGGGGAAGGCUGUGGUGGUGCAUAUGGCCAUUGAUAGAACUUCUCAUAUGGCUAACAAUAUUCUUCUUGUUGAAGUUUUUGAGGUUCCCUACACAUAGAAUUUGAAUAAUCUCUCCAAUUUGAAUUGUAAGUGUUGGAAAACAGGUUGUUCCUUGAUUGAUUAUGGCCUUGAUAACCCCAGGCACCUCUAUUCUCAAUGAAUUGAGGACGUUGAUGAGUUUCAUAUCCUUGCCUAUAGGACACACCAAAUGUAGGGACACUUUGCAUUGUGGUCCUUUCGGCAUAUUGCGACAACUGACAAGUAAGAUUCGCUAUUUGAGCUUGAACGUUAGAAUUGCCAUAUUUUGCUUCUCUAGUACCUAAAAUCAAAGAAAGAAAACUAAAUCAAAUAUCAAAAGUAAAAGAUACAAACAGAAACAAAGGGAGAUUAGCAAUUUUGCUAAUCCCUGGCAACGGCGCCAAAAAUUUGAUGUGAUAUAAACUAGUACUCAAAUUAAACCCUCUUAUUGACAAUUGUAGUAAAGAUGUAAGUAGGGAUCGUUCUAGGCCGGGGAUUAGGAGGGAUUGCUAAUCUACUUAAAACUGACUUAAAAACACAAAACUAGGCUUGAAAACACUUAACUAGACUCAAAUAACUCAAAACAAAUUAAAGAGACUCAAAACAGCACAAAAUAAUCAAAUAGACUCAAACUAGACACUAAAGGGUGAUUUGGACGAAAAUUGAUUUUAACUUGACUCAAAAUACUUAAAAACACAAGUUUGGAUAUAUUCUAACUAAUUUGACACAACAAAGUAAAGGGGAUUGGGUUUUUGACGAAUUUAAAGUAAAGACAAGUAAAUUAAAGACUUAAGCAAGUUUAGCACAAAAUUGGGGGAAAAUAUGGGUGAUUGGCUAGCUAGAGGGUUCUUCUCCACACAUGACACACUUGCACACAAAUCGAUUUCCAGUUGAUUUUCCAAUAAACCAUGAACCUCAACGCCCUAUAUUAACUGUGAACAGCACUAAUUAACCCUUUGAUUUUCGUUAAGUCAUUGAAUUGGAUGGACAACGCAUCGGCAACCAAAUUAUUCUUCAAUAGUCCCCUACAUGAAUAGCAUAAUAGAGAUACAAUCAAAGAUCAUUAAGUUUUGUGAAAAUCAUAAGCAUUGACAAGGCAUUUGUAACUAUGAACAACAUGAUACUCCUGCCAGAAAUCUACUUAACACGAUUGUGACUAACAACCUCCACUACUUAUGAAUAUAAGUUCAUAAUGAUUAGGUGAAACUCCCUUAUAUUCUAGCAUCAAAUUCAUGCAUGCAAACUAAGUGUGCACCCUUCAUCAACAUACAAGAAUGAGUUCUGAAUCAAACAGUUAAGUAAAUUGCAUUCAUGAUUUAUAGAAUCACAACUGGAAGUAAUCAAUUCAUAUUGCAAAAGCCUUGACGGCCCUUGAGAACUUUCACCAAUUCAAGAUCAAGCCCCGACUUGAAGAAAGUGUUCAUCAUUCAUCAUCCGUUCAUCCUAAGAUCAAGCCUCAAUGACCCUUUGGAUCAACAACAUCAACAAAUCCACACAUUUGUUCUUUAAGAUCAAGCCUAAAAGCCUUUGAAGGAACUUCGCUCAACCUUCAAGAUCAAGCCCCGAGGGCUCUUGAAGAAACUUCCAACAGUUCAUCCAAGAUCAAGCCUCGACGACCCUUUGAUCAACAAAACAUCCACAAAUCAACACUUGACGGUGAUCGAAUCAGAGGAUCAAGUUAUAAAGAGAUUGUAACCCUAAAAAUCCAUUAACACCAAAAUCUUUCUUUGUACACGUUGUUCUUGUUUCAGGAAUUUUAGUGUUCACACUCACCACCAGAUAUUAUGUAUCUCUCUUUCAUAGCCAUGGCACAGCAAUUGCUCGGCAAUCUCAACAAGUUAUGUGCAGCGCUUUUUCAUCGUCACAACAUGCCUUCCAAUUAUUUCCAAACCUUGGCUUCUUCAAUCCUCACCGCACCAUCUCCGCCGCCCAAUAUCAGAUUAAAAAAAAAAAGGAAAAAACUGAACCGGAUUGAAACCAAGCCGAAAAAUAAUCGAAACUGAAAAAAAAUGAACCGAAAAAAAAUUAAACCGAACUGAGCCGAACCAAAAUUUCGAUUCGAUUUCGAUUUUGAACCGAACCCAGCCCUAAGAUUGUGAGUUUGGCACUAGAAAGAGAGGAAAAGUGAUUGGACAUGUCAAGAAAGAAGAGAAAGAUGGGAAAAGAGGGGCUAUUGAGAGCAGAUAUAGGGAGCUAGGGCUCGGUGUUAAAACCUAGACUAUGCGUGCCAUCCUAGGUGAUGUGCAUCUCGGAUUGUAUGCAAGUGGCACCUUACCUUCAUUUAAGUGUUUGUUAUGUAUUCUAUAAAUGGUAAGCUAAAUAAUGUUUGUAUACUUUGAUAGGUUUUGACUGACUUCUAGGCCUUAAGUUGGCAUGCUUUCGAGAUCGCAUUUGCAUUGGACAUGAGGUGAGUAGUUUGUUUACUGUCCUUAUAUAGAAUAUCAAAAUGUGUAUAUGCCUCUAUGUAUGUCCUAUUGAAGUUAGCAUUGUAUGUAAUAUGAGACAGAGAUAAAGACACUGGUAAUGCGUGGUUGCUAGUAUAAAAUGAUGAGUCAGGGACUCAAUUAGAAUUUUCAAUAUAACUAGUAAUUAAGGGAAUCCUUUGUGAUGUUCUUUGUAUAACGAGAUGCUUGGUUGACACGUUGAACCGAUAGUGGAUGUGAUUAUUAUGUAAAUCAUGUUGGGUUGAUGUAUGGUAUAUGACGAGUGAUAAUGUGACUGAAUCAUGUAGCAGUAUGGUACAUGGAUGGUCCUACUUGGUUAAUUCGCAUUGGGCCAUGCAAUUAUAUGCAUGCCUAUGGUUCUGCUUGGUUAAUUUGCAUUGGGAAACCAUAAGCAUUCUAAAAGUGAUCAUCCUUGGUAAAUCGACAAUUGGUGACCACUUCCAAAUUGGAUUCCAUUGAAUUGGUCUGGAAUCUUACUUCAUAUAUGGUUAUUUUUUUUAUUUGGUCUGAAAACCCUAUAUUUUGUUAUAGAGUUGAAACUUAUCGUGCAACCAGAUAUGAAGUAAGAUCUAAACCUUAUAACAAUUCCUUUCGAAUUACUUUCUAAUAAUCCGGUAAUAAAGGCAAUCGACGGUUCAGAGAUUUCCAGACCAAUUCAAUGGAAUCCAAGGUUUUCAGACCAACUCGGUUAUAGAGUUCCAGCCCUUGUGAAACCAGACCUAGAUUUUUUUUCCUUCCUCCCCAUUUAUUUAUCAGUUAUAGAGUUGAAAUUUAUGGUAAAGUGAUGCAGUGAGGGUCACGGUAUCAACAGACAACUCUUUGCGGAGCAAAAAUUGACCUCAAAUCCAGUAAUUUUCUAUUGAAAGAAGAAUACUUGUGAAUUUUGAUUUCCUAUAAAUAUGGCCUUCCCAUGUUAAAGUCUAAUGUAAAAAAAAUCUGAAAAAGAUGACUUCACGAUGUUAUAAAUAUUAAACGAUUUAGUGAUAUGCCUCUUCACUUGUAAGUGAAAGGUUUUAGGUUCGAUUCUUAUCAAAGGUGAAUUUGAACCACAUUAUUGCUAGCUCAUUAUAAGGCUAAACCCACCAUCUCCCCGUUAGUGUAUAUAAUAUUGUUUGUUCAAAAAAAAAAUUACAUAUUUUUUCCUGAAAAAAAUGUCUUAACUCAUUAAAUUUUGAUAAUUUACCCUUAAAAGUGUAUCACAUCCAAGUUUUUGAAAUGUAAAUUGUUUCUGAUUAUUUGAUUUAAUAAGUUGCAAUGGUGCUUAAGUCAAUAGAUUCAAAUGUAGGGCCUCGAUUCAAUCCUUCCAUAUAUGACUUAAAUUGUAGCCAAGUGUCAUGCCAUUAUUGAUGACCGUGUGUAUGGCUUAGAUUGGAUUUAGCGCAAAGGUGUAAGAGAAUGUUUUGCUAAUUUGUGCUCUGCAAUGGAUUGAGCCGCACCUUUCCUUACACAGAAAUAUACAAAACUUUCGUUCUUUGAGUUUUUCUUCAGUCUUAUUUCCCAAUCCAUAACUUAAGAAAACAACAUCAAAUACUAAAAACCAACACAAGUCACGUAAUUUAAAUUGAAAAAAAUUAAAUAGCUUACAAUCUAGUAGAAGGGAAGAAUUUGGAGGUUUUAAUGAACUUAAGGACAUUUGUUUGAAAAAAUAUCAUUAAGGAACUUAAUUUUUUUAAAUGGUACGAUUAUGAGAGAUAUGUUGAAAAGUGUGCAAUUAAGGAAAUGAACUCAAAUAAAAACUAAAAACUAUUUUUAGCUUGCAUUUACUUUGAAGAUUUUGUUUUUGUUCAUUUUUCUUUGUUUCCUUCAUUCCCUUCCACCAGUAUUCUUCAUCCCACAUUUCCUCCAAAUAAUUUCUCCAUAACUCAUACACAUAAAAAUGAAAAUUAAAAAUAGAAAACAUUUUGAUUAUCUCACAAAUAUGAUCUCACAUUUCCACCAUAUAAUGUCCCUUUAUAUUUAUGAAAUAGUUAUUAGCACUUAAAAGUCAUUAUUCACUCUUUAAAUAUAUAGAUUUGACAAACCGGCGUUAUAUCUCUCAAAGACAAGGAGCAAGAAAUAAUUGCUUGGUCACAAGCCAGUAAUUUCUUUCUAAUUAAUAUGUGUAGUAGAUUACCAAGAGAAGUUUUCCACAAACAUUCAUCGUUUCAGCCAAAUAAUGUAAAUUAGGGUUUUCUUGGUUGAGGCAAUAGUAGGACUUCAAGCUAGGCAAGUAAUUAUGCAACUUUGAUCGUAGCAUGCAUGUCUAACUAGCAAGUUACCAAAAUUUAUUUUAAAUAAAAAAGAGUGAAUUCUUGAUCAAUUGAAAUUUACCGUCCACCAUGCCAGUGGAAGAUAUAUACAAAUGAUCGAUCAUCACUUAUUUAUUCAUUUUCUUAAUUCUUAAUAACAUAGCUUAUCUUCUUAGAUAUAUCCAUCAGCAAAAACUGCUAGAGUGGUUGUUGAUUCUUCCAUAGCUAGUAUGGCUUCUGCCCAACAUAGUUGCCUGGGGGAUCAUAGUUGCAUCCAAUGAAGGUACCCCCACUACUGCACCUAACUUUUGCGCACCCUACACGAGCCGAGUUACGCCAAACCACCUGUGUAUAAUGCCCACACACCUUUCCAUCAGCACAAGAGUUCGACUCAUAACUGUAGUCGGCUUUCUCCGCCACCCACAUGUCCACAGCCGCUGUUCCCGACAUGUCACCAGUGCUCAUGGCAAGGUUUUCGCCGUAUGGCCCACCGGAGUGCACGAGAUUGCAGUCACCAACAUGUUGGUUGGCGUAGUUUUGUGCAUAGCCUGCUACUUUGUCAUCCCACGUCAAGGGACCAACGCCUACUGCUGCUCGAGCGUCGUUGUGGGACUUGAGGUAGUCUUGGGUGUGUCUUGGGCAUGAGAGGAUUGGAUAAGGACUGAGCCUAAAAUGAAAAGGAGAGCUAGGGAAAUAUUGCACAACCCCAUGUUAAUGGUUUGUUCUCUUUGUGGAUGGGCAAAUGAGAUGCUAUGGUGCGGAGUAUUUAUAAUAGCGGGGAACGGUAAAUGUUGAUAUUAUGAGCUCUAAGAAAUUGAGGCAGAAAUUGAGGCAGAAAUUGAGGCUGUGGAAAUUUAUUUGCAUGACUAUCAAAGUUGAACGUUCACAUUACGUUAUCAACUGAAGAAACCAAACCGUCACUGAACUGAUAAAACAAAACCCUACUUCUAUAUUUCUUUACUUACAACGGCUUACUUUUACAAGUAAAAUUUAUGAGAGGAUUAACUUUUUUUAGUACUACAAGCGAUAUUCUAUAUAGUCUAGACGAAGAUGGAGAGAGUUUGAACUAGGAAAGAAGAUCUGAACCACUAUGACAAUCUACCACUUACAUGAGAAGUACGAAGAUUAGUCAAACUUUCUCGAGGUAAUUAAAUUGUCAGUAUAACAAAAAUAAGCAAUCGCAACAGCAAAAACGUGGCUACUGCUGGGGUAACAAUAAUAUCGAUCACUGACCUAGAUAUUAUGUUGCUAUGUAAUACUUUAAUUUCCCGAUAUUUGUUAACACAAUUAACAAUCCCUUGAAACCUUUGAAAUUCAUGUUGAUGAUGCAACAUUGGAACAAAUUGGAACUAAUUGCUUUGGUAAAUAAGCAGAUCUGCUUCUUCUUCUAAUUACGUUUGUCAUAUCUGUUUAUUUCUCUUUUAGAAAGGUAUAUGAUGGAUGCAUGUAGGAAACGUAUAUGUUCAUCUGUUGAAGGAAAGGUCUACUAAGCCUUCCCUCAAUUUCGGGGAACAAAUUGAUUAUCGUAAUUGUUGGAUUCAUGUAUGCAGUAAACUUUGAAAAAGAAAAUUAAGUCCGAUGCGGAAAAGCAUAUUCUAUGCACCGUUGCAAUACGUGUGGUAUACGGGUCUUCUCCGAAGUUUUAUUUUCUUGAAACAAAUAUUUUUAAAUGUGGAAAUCUUACUAAACUACACAAUCACCUAACCAUAAAUUUGGUAUUAUUAAUGGUUUUGAACUCCUCUUUAGGAAAACCGAAUUUAAGACUUUCAACUUACAAGUUAGGAAAAAAUGAAUACCACUACAUUGCAGUAGUAGAUCCACAAGUCUUCUUUGGAUUAAAUAAAAUAGAAUAUUAUGAAACUCUCAUUUUUUACCUAACAUUGUAGAGAAGAAUAAUUGAGUUAAGUCACACAAUUGUUAGGGUUCAAGAUUUUUAUAUAUUAAUUUCGUUGUAGUAAUUGAGAGAAUAAAGGACUGCAUUUUCUGAGAAUGAAAGAUGUAGUUGCAGAGAGAAUAUUUGAAGGACUGUAUAAGAUGCAAUACAUUACCAAUCCUUUCAUAUAUUUUAUAAUAUACAUAUUUAUUUGUUUAAUUACUACUUUAAGUUUUAAAAUUGUUAAAUUAUUUUUUCUUACUAUAUUAUAACAUAUGAAUGAAUAACAUCAUAUUACCGUUAAUACCGUGUUCAAAAGGGAUAUCCAUUGUACGUGGUUUAGUGUUAUCCGCGAAUGUCCUCAACGCAGGACUUUUACCCUAAUUGUGAUGGCAUUAUUAGCAUUAGCAUACUUUUGGGCAUAAAGGCUGCUACGUCAGCAUCCUACGUCAGAGGGCAAAUGUCACCUUUGGUAACACCUUGAGACGCACGAAAAUGUGGGACACGAUGGCCUGUAUGUAUUGGGAUAUUGAUAAUACUUGGAUACUCUCCGGGGAGUACCCAAUAUACACACUAUCUUAUGUGGCACACUAAAAUAAAGACACUUGGCAAAACUUAAUCUUCAAAUUCUUAACCAAUUAUUUAGCCAAACACUCAGGUACCGUUUGGUACGGGACGGAAUGGAGUGGGACGAGGCGUUCCGUCCCAUGUUUGGUGCGCCUAAAAUUGGUGGAACACGUUGUUCCACAGGACGAAUUUUGGGUGAAUUUUCGUUCCGUCUCACCCCCCUGGAACGACUUAUUCCACAUUCGUGGAACACAAAAUUAUAACCUCUCUGUCUCCUUCUUCUUCCUCCUUGUUUCCAUCCGAGGCGAUAUUUGCUACCUCUCCGUUCCGUUACAUCUUGUGCCGUACCGUCCCGUCCCGUUCCGUUCCGUUUGUCCCGUCCUGCCUGCAUACCAAACGAUACCUCAUUAUUGUGUUAGCCAAACGCCCAUCUUCAUUCACACCAAAUACACCGAGAUUUAAGCCACUGGCACCAGCAACGGUCCUCUCCCACGCCAGUGGCCACGGUCUUUGCCGUACAAUCACCGGCAAUGGUCCACUACCACAAGGCACCAACCAUGGUCCUCUCCCACCAGGACACCACCCCCGGCCACGGUCGUCUCCGAUCACAAACCAGCGUCUUCAUCCACUACUAUCAGCUACCGUCCCUCGCCGGAACUCAUGGCAUCUUCAUCGUUGUAAAAUCUGGAUCUCACGUAAGAGUAGAAAACCGUGAAAACGAGCACCCAACCUAGGGCUAGGCAAACGGGUACAGGAACUGUGGGUCGGGGAGGGUAAUAACGGUUCGGGGCGGGUACAGGCCAAUUCCUACUUUUAAAAAAGAGAAACAGGGCGGACCUUUGUGAUUUUCGGUUCAGGCCGGUUCCUGAAGUAUAGGAAUCGCGGGUAUACCCAGACCGGCCCGUUUGUAAUUAAAAUGAAUGGACCAGAUUGAUGAAUAAGCUACCAUAUCUAAUCUGAACCGUUGUUUUAGUUUUACCUAAGUUCUCUAUCUCUUUCAUCUUAUCCCGAUUCCUCUCGACUCUCAUUCUCACUCUCUCAAACUCUCAUACCUCAGUCUCUCGACAGUUCCUUUCCCUCGACUCCCUCGACUCCAAUCCCCUCACCAACCGUCGAUUCUCCUCGACGAAUACAACGGAACCACCCAUCAUCCUCCUCGACAACAUCCCAGAGAACACAGGCCAUCACCCUUGCCGUCGAUUCUCUCCUCUUCGACAGCAACCCCCGCCGUCGUGACCGCCAUCACCCCAUCCCCGUCGUCGAUGACACUGGUACCAGCCAUCAUCCCUUUAAAAUUUAGGUAAUUUUGAAUUAGGGUUUUGUUAUUAAUUUGAAUUUUGGGUGUAGGGAUUUUAGGGUUUUUAAAUUAGAAUUGGGAUUUUAGGGUUUUCAAACUAGGUUACUAUAGAUGCUGAAUGUAUAUGGUUGUAUCUAUGCUGCAAAUGUUUUUUUCUUGGAGUUGUUAGAUGCCUCAAUACUUUCGAACCUUGCCCUUCUUCAAAGAUUCACGCAGGGGAGGUUGUCGAUAGACCUUUUUCGCAUACAUUCUUGGGGUGCAAUCUCUUGCACCAGUACUCCUGAAUAUUUGAUAUUGAACACAUAAUAAACAUAAUGUAGGAGAAUUUAGAGAGAUUGGUUAAUGUUCCAUUUGCAUGUUGAUUUGUAAGAGGUUGUGUUUAACCCUCUAUUUCGGAAAACAUGGUUGCAUUUUAUAGCUAAAAGAAAAAGAAGUUUUUAGGGUCCUCUUUGAAAACCAUGACUAUUAAAGUGUGUUUGGAUAAGGGACUUUAAAGUUCCAAGAAACUUAAGGCUAAAUGGUUAAAAAUCACGACAAGAAGACUACCAAUGCACUAUUCAAGCACUACCAAGUUUCUUCUAGCACAUCAUAAAGAGACAGAACAAAGAACUUCCAAAUGACACCUAGAAAGGUGUGUCAUUUCAAAAUUCAAAGUUUUCUUAUGCGUAUUGCACCUAGUUAUUUUCUUCCUCUUAUCUAAUUGUUGCAGUGCAUCCUAUCAAAUAUAGCCCAAGAUCUAUGUUACUUUAAAGUCCCUAAUCCAAACGUGCCAUUAAAGUCACAGUUAGAGUUCCCUUUUUGAAGUGAUAAUUUAAUAACUUUAGCAUGGUUAUAUUUAGCCUCUUUGAAGUGGAAAAUAUUACAUCUUGAAAGUUUCAUAUUUCAGCUUCAAUUUCACAAUUUGUCAACUAAAAGAGAUAAGGGAAUAGCUUCUUGUGUAAAUUUUAUAUUUCUCAGAUGUCAUUUUAUACUUGAUUCCUUUUGUGUAAUUAUUUACAGUAUGUAAAUAUGCAUUUAUUCAGGUAUAACUGUGCCAAACAAUGUAAAGUUUCUGAUUUGAGAGGCAUGCAGUAUAACUAGGUAUAACUAGGUUUAAAGUUUCUUAUUUAACUCAUAUUUGACUAGGUUUAUGUUUUAGUCUCUUGGACUUUCGGAUAUUUUGUAUGUUGAUUUGAUUUUUAGAUGUUGGACAAUGUAAUAUUGUUAUUUUGGAUGUAUUGUUAAUCUAUGAACUUUGAUGUUGGACUUUGUAUUUAGAUUGGAUGUGAAUAAUGGUGAAUUUGUGCAAAAUCUGCAUAAAUGUAGUUUGUCACUUUCUGCAGACUGUGCAGUUUGCAAUCUGUGCAAAUCUGUGCAGUUUGCAAAUAUAUGCAGUUUCAUAUCUGUACAGAUUGCAAUCUGUACAAUUUUUUUUUUCAAACAACAAAAAAAAAGGGACCCGUGGACCCUGCCCGUUUCAACCUGGCCGGGUAAUGUCCGGUUCCUAUAUUAGAAAAUGUAAUCCCCGGCCGGGCCCGGCCCGUUUCCUUUGAACCUAGGUUCGAUCAGGUCCCUUCAAAUUGGGCCCGGCCCGGCCCAUGCCCAACCUUAACCAACCCCAUGAGCCAUCGUCCUCUCCGUAUGAAAAUCAAGGAACCCAUAUUUUUGGAUUGCCAGAUUGGGCUUCUGGAAAUGGAAUCUUCCACCACAAUUAGAUUGCCAUGAUUUUUUAAAAUAUGAAAAUGAAAGUGUUUGUCUGAUUGUGUGCUUUGGCGAGGAAGAAGGUGAGUGUUUGGCUACAGGAAUAAAUGAUGUUUGGUUAAGUGUGUGGGAGAUUUAAAUAAGGACAGAUGUCGUUGUUUUAUUAUGCCACAAAAGAUAGUGUGUAUAUUGGGUACUCCCCGGAGGGUACCCAAGUAUUAUCCUUGGGAUAUGGUGUGGAAAAGCUGCUUUGUUGAAGUCCACAUAAUUUUUUUUAAAUUUAAAAAAAAAUAUAUUGGAACCAUGUAUGUCUUUGGUUCCGGACGGAAGUGUAGGACACUAUGACCUGUAUAUAUUGGGAAGUGUGGAAAAUAUGGGACAUCUCUUUUCUUUAAAUUAUUGUAAUAAUUUUGAAUCAUUCAUCCUCCCCCUAAGAAUAAUAAUUUACAAAAAAUUGGAACUAUAUUAGAUCAAGCCUUUAGUCACAGAAGAAAAUGUGGACACGAUACCAGUAUGUAUUGGGAUAUAUUGUAGAGAAUUUGCUUUGUUAACGUCCGAAUGGAUUUAGGUACGACUAAAGUUGUAAUAUCGUUAGUUGUCAUUAGUAUUACUGUUUAGUGAAAUUAUUCUCCAUUUGUUAGUGGGGAGGUCUCAGUUUAACUAUGAGUUCAAAUUUACUUGUCACGUCCCGAUUCCGACAUAUGUCUAGGAUCGACAUAUGACAUCACUCAGUACUCGUAUAUCUAACAUACCUGCCUCCAGGAUAUGGACAAGCACAAGAAAUAUUCAAUUGUGUAGUAAUUUUUCAUGUACUUUAUGGCUACAUCUAACCUCUUUGUUAGACUACCUUCGUACCCUCCGACGAGAUCAAGCCAUUCGUAGUUCACCAUUUGUUAAACUAUGAACUAUUCGUAAAACACUUCCUAGCAGACAACAUAGAGUACCACACUACAUAUCAACCAUAAGCCAAACAUGAGUUAUCAUCUUACCAACACACAUAUGCUUUCCAACACCAUUCAACAAUCACAUCAAUCAAUAACACAUACAAUGCACCAAAAUGCAGGGUUAGAGCGACACAGUUAGGCAGAAGCUUGCAUCCCUGAAGCUUUCUCAAUUUAGACCGAAUCCAACGAAUCAACGAAGUCAACAAUGUGAUUUCGAACCACUCAACGAAAUCCUACAAAAUAGGGUUCCGGACCACUUAACGGAACCAAAGUACCAAACAGGAUUAUGGACCACUCAACAGAAUCCAAACCAGGAUACGAUUUCGGACCACUCAACAGAAUUGUAGAGUAUAAGGGAUUCUGGACCUUUCAACGGAAUCUGAGUGGAUACGAUUUCGGACCACUCAACGAAAUCCAGACGAAGCAAGGAAUCAGACCACUCAAUGGAAUCGAGUGGAAGUCUAAGAAACAUAACAACGGCUCAAAGAAACAAGACAUGAAUCAAGUUACUUAAUUUAGAAUGGCUCAACGAAACGAGAUAUGAAACAAGGUUCACUAGGAGCCCUCACAUUUCAUCAAACAAUUCAACAAGCACUUCGAAUCACAUUUCAUAAAUAUCACCAACACACAAGUCAAAUCACAUUUAAUAAACAUAGAUCAAUGGCUAAAUAUUAAAAAAAAAAUCACAUUUCAAUAGAAAUCACAUUUAUAAAAUCAAGUGAUAUUCACAAAGGAUACUAAAUACAAAAUCAGGGUAAUAACCAUAUCACAUAUCUUUAAGUCAUUCACUAACCAAUGUAGGCCCACUAGACUUCACUUAGUCUCUAGUAGUACUAAUUUUAGUAUUUAAGAACGAUUCAAAUCAUGUUGACCAAAAGUCAACUCUCUGUCAACGGUGGGUUCCACAACCCUACAUAAUUCGAUUUGGAACAUCUUCCCAUAGAUUUCCGAUCCGUAACCUCCUAAGAGUCUCAUUAAUCUUCUAGAACAAUAUUCUAAAAUUUUGAAAUGAUCCAACGGUCGGAUCUUCGCCAAUCGCGAAAAAUAAAUUGCUGUCAACAUUUGGUUUUACAAACUUAGAAAUUCAAUUUGGGAAGAUCCGUACGUUGGAUUUCCAAUCCGUAAGUUCCUAAGGUCCUCAAAUAUUAUGUUUAAUAACAUAUUAACAUUCAAUGACAAUCUAACAGUUGGAUCUUUGUUUGCUACAUUAGUCAAGUGGAGGACCCUAAUGGAACUAGGUCCAAACGAUAGAAUUUCAUCGAACAGAGGUCAAUUAUGAAAUUAGAAUAUCAAAUUUAGCCUAGAAAUUUAAAGUUGGCUCACUGGCCAAAUGCAACAUGAGCCACCGCAUGCGGCGGUUUCCAGUAAACGGAAACCCAAUUUUCUAACUAACUCCAAAAAUUACCAAAAUUUUAUAAGAUUGUAGAGCACAACAAGGGAACAACUUUCAUACCUGGGCUGAAGUCCAAUUCGGUAGGGAAACGCCUAACCCUAGAAUUGGGUGUUCAUAAAUGGUAGAUUUGUCGCAUGCACCCAUGAAGCCCUCGACUUUGAUUUUCACGAAAAGACACCAAAUCAACUCAGGUUUUGGGUGGAAAUGGAAGAAGACUUGAUGCUGAGUUGCUUCCAGGUAAUGGGUGGCUACAAAUCGCCAGAAAAACCACCUGAAAAGGCAUCGAAAAACAUGCCGGGUUCGAUCUCGGCUCAAUGGGAGGGAUCUGAUUUCCUCAUUCUCUCAUACCUCAUUUCCCCUCCUUGCUUUCCCUCUAAUUCGCCUGUCUCUCCCUCAUUUCUCUCCUUAUCUCUCCAUCCAAGCCACACACGUGGCACCAAAUCAGUGCUCCAGCAAAUCUGGAGCCUUCCAGAUAAUGGUCAAAUGACCAUUUCACCCUUGUCUUUACUCGUUUAUAUCUCGUUUGUUAUAGCUCCGUUUGGCAAACAAUUUUCGCCUAUGCACUCAUGAGGUCAAGCUCUAUCCAAAUAUGUAAAUAAAAGUGACAAAACAUAUAAGAAUUAAAUACAUUCUUGAAAAAUCCGUUUAGUUCAUUAAGGUCAUUUUCAUCCUUUUACUUAUCGAAAAAAAAAACUAUACGCCGUAAUUAUAAAUGCGUCGAAACUAAGAACACGAAAUACAUAAUUUUAAAUAGUGAAAUAUGGGGACAGGAUGUCAUAGCCCGUCCCGAAAUAUUUAUUUUCAACAGCGUGAAAUUACUUAUUUAGCCUUGGACUUUUAUGUGGUUAUGUGGGUUAAGUUUUAUUUGGACCAAUUCAUAGGUUUUCCUAAGUUUUUGGAACACUUAAGACUUAAAGUGUUUGUUUUGUGUAUUGGAAGACCAUGUAGGACCACCACACACCGACACACACACUCAACCUUUCCCCCGUGCCCUCUCUCUCCUAUCCCUUUCGAUUUUUCUGCAACAUCCGUACAAGUGUACGGACAAAUCUCGAACCCUCUCAUUUAGACGUAGAACUCUAACCUCGAGAACUUGAAAGCUUUAAAACCCCGAGAACUCUAACCCCAAAUUUCAUGCACUAAUUAAUGUGAGGUUUUUAGGAGCUUUUAAGGACAUAGGGAGCUUUGGAUCAUCUUCACGAAGCUUGGAGAAGAAAACCCAAGCGAUUUGGACAUCGGGAAAUCAAGUUCGUCGAGUUUUAAGUUUUCGCUGGAUUAUUGAGCUUUCUCUGGCGAAUUUUCAUGGAUUUCAAGCCUUAAAAUUGGUAUGGAUGUGUUCUUCUAGUUAUAAGCUUUAAAUUGAGACCAAUUUCAUGAGUUUUAGUUAAGAAAUGACUGAUAUAUAAUGAUUUUAAGAUUUUCCAGUUUCCGGCGACGACGACGGUCGCCGGAGUUCGAAGGUAGGGGAUAACGGAAUAUUCCGUCAACUUUGACGAAAUAUUCCUAACGGCGACUAAUGAUGUUGGUUGAUUUUAACAAAAUAUUUCUUAAAUUUAACGAAAUAUUCUUAACAGCCGUUAGGCCUCAGUUAAGGUUUGGCCACAUGUGGGGGAGCGUAGGGUCGUGCCUUCGCCAGCGCAUGGCGGCGCGUGGGCGGUCAGAAUUUUUUUCUAAAAAUAUGGGGAUGUUCGUGAGGUUCAUCUCGUUUGAGCAAUAUAUGAGAAGUUAUUAACUGGUUUUGUCUAUGUGGUUUAAAUAACGUUUAUUCAGUUAUUUUACAUAUAGGUGAGACCUAUCCAGAGGACGAGCGCAGUUAAGGGCGACUCGGGGGCUACAACCCUUCGACAUACCAGUGAGUGGGCUUUUGGUUUUCAAUAUAUAUUUAUAUACUUGAUAUUUUCCCAUAAAAUGUGUUUAUAUGAAUUAGUAUAUGAUGAAUAAUGUGAAUUGGUGUUAUGGAUGCUCAGGUAAGUACCAAGUGAGUUAUGUUUUGUUAUGUGAAAUGUCGACAUUGUGAGAUGUGAUUGAGAGCUCAUAAACCUGCACCCCAGGUGAUUGUGAUUUAGCCACAGAUAUGGCACAUGUCUGUUUAUGAUGUCACAUCCCGCACCAUAUGCUCACAUUGGAUCCAAUUUAAGUGCACAUUCUUGUCGUACAGACCACUAUACAUGGUUCCGACUCAUAGGUGACUAGCGAUUUAUCGCACAGCUAUCAUGAGAGCGUAGCAUUGAGCAUAACUAUAUUACACACAGUCUUGUCGUACAGACCAUUACAGUGGUUCCGACUCGUAUGCAGUGUAGUGCCAUAUAGGUCACUUGUGGUGACUCCAACUAGAUCGAUUAAUGAGUUAUGAAUUCAGCUGUACAGACCUCUGUAAAGGUUCCAGCUAAUAUAUUGUUGACCAUGAACUUAUUUGCACCUGAGUUACUUAUUAUGUUCUAUAUUUGCCAUGGCAUACUUAUGUUUAUAGUUAUGUGAAGCAUGAUUUGAAUAUAUAUAGGGGUGUGAUAUUCACACACCCCAUUUUACUUUUCACACACCCUUCUAAUUUUCGGCCAUAGGAUCGAAUGAAUUAAAGAAAAUUAACAAGUAGAAAUUAACAAGGGGUGUGUAAGAAGUAAAAUAGGGUGUGUGGAUAGCACACCCCUAUAUAUAUAUAUAUAUAUAUAUAUUCUAUUUCUGGGAAAAUUAUACAUGUUUUACAGCGAGGGGUUAGAACACUUGAUAAAUGAAAUGGUCUUUGAAAAGCUUUGUUUUUGCCCACUCACACUUUAUGUUUUGCGCCCUUCCAGGUUCUAAGGAGGAGUGUUUGUUGGUGGCAUCGAGGAGUCAACGGCCGUUAUGACAGAUUAUAUCUAUGCAGGACAUCUUUGGGUGUCGUUUAAUUAGUAUUUGUUUUCUGGGCUGAACUUAGGCUACUUACGCUCUGAUUGUGUAUCCACACCUAUUCUAGUACUUGCCUUGACUAGUACUAUUAUGAGUUGAUUUUUAUUUAUUCGUAUUCCCUAUUAUCUUUACUACUUCCGCACUAUGCACAUGGCUACAUCACCCUCACGUGAUGGUCAGCAUGCCUUAACUCGGGUCGGGAUGUGUCACGGGAUUUCACACUACUUCCACCAAUGUUGUUGAUAUUUUUUUUAGGAUUGUACUUGGGUACUCACUAGUGAGUACUCACAUUUUGAUUGUGAUUAUUCAGCUUUUGAUUGUCCAAUAAUAUUUUAGGAGAAAUUAGGUUCACAUCCUUCUUUUUGCUAUUCCAUUGAUUAAAAUCCUAUUCAUUUUUCAAUUUUUGAUCAAGGUCCUUGGGUAUUAAUAACAUCAUUAAUUAUUUGAAUAAUAAAAUAUUUUUAUUUUUAAAUAUAUUCCUUUAGUGUUAAAAACGUCACAAUUAGUAUAUUUAUGGUUACAUUUUUAUCAUAUAUUUUUAUUUUUAGUUUGUACCAAUUUUUUUUUUCAUUUUUAAUUUGUACUCAUAUAUUAGUUUCUUUUUGUGCCCAUAUUUUUUAAAGUUUUAUUUGUGUUUGUACCCAUGUUUAUACCAUCACAUGACAUUGUCUAUUUAAUCAAUGAUAGAAAAAUUGCAUAUGGUAUAUUUAUGUUUUAUGCCUAAAUUUUGUAUCAUGUAUUUAUAUUUUUAGUUUGUACCCACUUUUAAUUUGCAACAUUUUUCUUAAAUUUUUAGUAUUUUCUUUUUAGUUUUAUUUUGUACCCAUGUAUUAAUUUCUUUUAGCGCCUAUAUUUUUUUAAAAUUCAUUUGUACUCAUAAUUUUUUUAAUCUUUUAUAUGCACCUUAAUUUAUUUAUAAUGUACUCAUUCUUCUUUAUUAAUGUACUACUUUGUUAUAUGUGAAAUGUACCAAUUUUUUUGUAAAAUGUACCAAUUUUUUUAACACUAUGGAUACAUUCUUUUGCUAUUUAUUAUUUCUUAUUUUUACAUAGUUUUUUUUUCAUUUAUUCAAUCAAAAUGUUUGAAUUUUUUUUAUUGUAACCGUUUAUAAUAGUAUUAUAAUGAGGGAUUUUAAAUUUAUAGGAUUAUAAAUCUCAAAAAAUAUCAAACAAUUAAUGUCAAAACUAUAAAAAUAUAAAUAUUAAUUGUAAUACAAUGAGGUGUACAAAGUCAAUGGACUUUGAUCAAACUUUGAAUAUCAUUAAGGUUUUAGUAAAAGAAUGUUAAGGAUUAGGGACCUCAUCCAAAGUUUCCCAAUAUUUUAUCACAUAUUUUAUUGUUUUGAAAAAUAAUGCACAUAUGUUAAUAACUUUUCUUGGGUAAUAAAAAAAUAAAGAACAUAUGACAUUUCUUGAAUCGGCCAAAAUCAGAAAGUGAGUACAUAGAUUGGUGAGUAUUUAUGUAUUUAGGGUUAGACUAUUAUUUAAUCUCUGAGAAAAAUUUGGCCUUCUUUUUUUAAUGCUUGAUUUGACCCAAUUAUGUAUUUUGAAUGUGGAAUGCUUGCUAACAUCAAAUACCUAAAUGUUGGAACCAAAUCCAACCUGCAAAACAGUAAAACAAUUGUGAGCAAUCCUUAAACCCAGGGGGAGAUGGGUGUUCAUGCCAAAAGCUUUCCAACGGUCAAGUAAGUGAAUGAUUUUUAGACUUAAGCAGUGAGCAAGAGAAUUGAAGUGUAUAGAUUGUGUUACCGUGGAUGCGUCCUAGGUGGGUGUAUUUAUAGUGUGGGAGAGAGACCUUUUUAGGAUAUAAUCCUCGUUCUAAGCCGAAAGAAUCCUAAAUGAUAUAUAGUAAGUAGAUAUUGUAUCCUCUUAGGAGUUGUGAUUACUUGCAGCGCAGGCCUAUCCUAAGAUUGUAGGGACUCCAAGAGACUUAUAGGCUCUGAUUGUGUCCAUAUUCGGAUCAGAUCACAUAUGGAACAAGCAUGGUCAUCUAACGAAGUCGUUAGGACUCCGCCUAGUGCCCCAGAGUAGAAUGAUGGUAGCACCCUGUUUCGUCUGAUACAGCUCCACCCAGAGUUAGAGCUAGUGAGUCCAUGAUCGAACUUCUAAGGUAACAACAAUAGAAUUAGACUCACUCUGGCCUUGAAAAAUCAUGGUCCCCCGCUGAAUUCAUUAAAAAAACAAUUUCUCAGCAAGUUAACCUACUAUUAAGGAAUACCAUAAUUAUGGUUCAUGAAUUUUCAUUGCUGGAGUAAGGCAGAUCGAAAUACUAAUACCUCAAAAGUUCUAUCAUGGACUCAACAACUUCAGCCGCGAAGCUGCAUAAAUGGAUCAUGGAGCAGUGUUGUCACUGUCAUCCUGUUUCGGAGCAGUGAGUGAAGUUCGUCAACUUCACUAAGAUUGACCAUACUUGUUCAGUAAGACAUAGAAACCUGAUCCAAUAAGGAAUCAGCCAUGUUUCCUACAUUAUUGGAAUCCUUACAAUCUAAGGAUUGACGUGUGGCUAAAGUAAUCAUACUCCUAAAAGGAUGCAAUAUCUACUCCAAGGUAUAAUCUAAGAUUGUCCCAGUUUAACAUGAAUUCCAUUUUCUAAAAGGACUUUAUCUUGAUUGGUAUAAAUACACCAUUCUUAGAUUCAUAUCUAGUAACACAGUUAUGCACACUUAUUCUCUUGCAUAUAGCUUGAGUUUCAUAUAUUUUUUACUAACUUGGCCGUCAUAAAGCCUUUGACCUGCACCCCUAGUCCUUGGCUGCUUACGUUGUUUGUUCUUUUACAUGUUAAACGAGUUUGUGCAUCUCCUCCACACACGGUGGUGCACACAUUUAGUUUUAGCAAAAAUGUUUGUUAUACAAACAAAAACAAAAAGUCGAACACAAUGAACACAUAAAAUCGCAGCAUGGAUAUUCAAUUGAUAUCUAAAUACGUCUAUAUUAUAUCAUGAAACUCCUAACUAAAAUAUGUUGCUACCAGGUAUUAUAUUUAUAUCCAUAUGGCAAAGCAUAGAAAUUAAGACUAACAAUUUUGUUAGAAAAAUCUAACAAUAAUAAUAAUCAUGGCUUUAAUCAGCCCCUUUUUUUGUUACCUAAUUAAAAGGUAAAAUUGAAGAACAUAGGUUGGGAAAACAAAAUCACAAAGAAUACAUGAAACCGACACCUGAAGCAAAAAGGAUGGUGCGGAGGUGGGAUGCAUACCUAUUGUAUAGACUGGUAGACAACCCGCGGAAAAGAUAUCUAUGGGAUAGGCAUGGUGGAAAGAAGGCAAUAAGAGGAGGAAGAAGAAUACUGCUUUGAAUCUUCAACAAUGACUACCAUGGUGGACAGAAAAUAUAUAAAUCAAUUUGCACACAUGUGGAUGCAAAUUUUCGCCUUAUUCUUCUUGAACAAAAAUGCACCUGCAAAAUAAUCAAGACCUAAAAUCAAGGCCAAGAGCCUCACGUGCCCACGAUGAAUGGGGGAGCUUUGGCCGAAGAAUCUCCGAUGCUAAAGUUAGAAUUUGAGAGAAAGUGUUUAAAGAAUUUUUGGGAGAGAAUUAGACUUAGGUUUUUGGAAAAAUGAGGGGCUAUAUAUAAGAGUGUGGCCAACCCUAUUAGGAGAAUUGGGACUCGCCACAUAUGGUUGAUUUGUGGGAUUGAUUGCAAAAUAUUAUGUAAAUAAUAUCUUGUAAUUAGUUUGGUAAUUAAUCAAUUAAUUUGCUAAUUAAUCCCAAUUUGAAAAGAAUAAUUGGAAAUUACCUUGUGGAUGAGGAUUUGAUGAGGAGAGAUGAGAGGGUUUUAAAAGAAUAUCAUUUUGACACCUGUCACCUCGAUUGAGCCUUUAUUGUCUGUUGCAUGCGCGUAAGAAUUUCGGUGUGCCUUAAGGUAAUUUUUUCUUUUUAUCCAAAGUUCAAGUGUUGCCUCCAUAUUUUUCUUAAUUAUUUUUGGCUCCACAAACCUAGACUAUGUAUUGACUGGUAAAAGAAGGAAACAUAUUGUCAGGAAGAUCAUCUUGCAUGCAUUCAUCUUUGAACUAGGAUUCUCUUCCCCUCUUGUUUUCAUUUUCUUCCAUUUUCUCUUCUCAUAUUCUUUAUUUUGUCUUUAUAUUCUAUAUAAAACAAUAUAAAAUGUUGAUGUGAUUUAAUCAUAAUCGUUCAUAUAGGAAAUGAGGGAAGGAGGAAAAAAAAGAAGGGAGAGAUAAUCCUACUCCCUUUCAUCUUCUUGGAUCUCUCUUUUUCCUGACGACAGAUUGAAUAUUUUUCUUCUUAUUGCAGCUUCCUCUUCUCGCCGCAUUCUUCAACCCUAUUCAACAGUUACCCUUGUGACGGCAUCUUCAUCUUUGGAGGGCCCUUGCAGUCACAUGUCAUUGGAAUUGAAAUAACCAGAGGAUUCAUGGUCAAUGGUGUUUGACUGGAGAGGGUGAUUGAUGGGGUGGGCAAGGGUGGUGGUGAUUGAUGUUGGGUCAAGUUUCAACUUAAUUUAACUAUAAUUAUAUUUAAAAUAAUAAUUAGUAGAUAAGUAAUUCAAGUUGGCUAAUAAAAAGAUAAAAAUUACAAAGUAGUUAAUGCUUAGAUGUGUAACCCAAAAUCGUCUGUGUAUCAUAUACUUGGAACAAUCCAACUGAUGGUCCGAAGCCCUGUUGGAAUUUUGAUAAAGUAUCUCUCAAAUCUUCCAUUAUCUAAAGAAAAGACGCCGAUGUCAGGAUAUGUAAAUAAUUCUUGAACUACUGAAUGAGUUGAAUUAUCAGCAAAGUAAAUGCAAUUGCUGUUUAACUCUCUAAAAUCACUCGCCCGAAGAGAGAAGGAAGAACAGUCAGUCAAAAAUAAUACUUGGCCAUCCAAACUUUGUACAACAAGAAAUUUGCUACUCUCAGUGUCAAUUUUGAAUACUCGAAAGCAACUUACCCUAUAAUAUCUGGGAUUCUCAUCUUCGUCAUCAAUGUCAGAUUCAUUGUCGCUGGAAUAUACGACAUUCUCAUCUUCACUAUCAAUGUCAGAUUCAUUGUCGCUAGAAUAUAUGGCAUUCUCUUCUUCGUAUCAAUGUCAGAUUCAUUGUCGCUGGAAUAUAUGGUAUUCUCCUCUUCAGUAUCAAUGUCAAAUUCAUUGUCGCUGAAAUAUUAAUUUGCCAUUCUCCUCUUCUUCCUCCUCAUCAUCCUGGUCAUCUUGAUAAUUAUCAUCAAAGUUCUGUUCCACCUGAUCAUAACCAUCCUCAUUGUCCGCGUUUCUUGGAGCUUGAAAAAUAUGAUGCCAUUUAUGGAUUAACAGGACUUCAUUGUUGGUUGAUUCCAAUAAGGACUUCCAUGCGCCAUUGUACGUCACUGUGUAGCACUCGUGAUGAUAAAUGUCUGGUUCAAUCGGUUCGAUAUUAUCAUAUAUCAACAUCAAUUCCACUGCAUGAUCAUCUCCAAAUUGUAAGCUGUGAGCUACAAUAAGCUCAUUCUUAGUUUCACUAGUCACCAAAGAGUAUAGCUUUCCUGUACUGGAAAACAAUAACUGGUCAUGACCCUCAUUUUCAUCUAAUACCUCAAAGACACUCCAUGUUUUGUCCCCAGGUCUACAUAAACCCAAUACAUUAUGCGAAUCAAAAAUUGCCGCCACCAUGCAUCCUGGAUGAUCGACAUCUGAGGUAGAUAACUGAUAACAGUAUAUAAAGCAAGCAUAACAGCUUGUGAUCGUGUGUUGUAAUAGUGACAAGUGUAGUCAUCUUGUAAUCAUUGUGAUAGCUUAGAAAGUAAGCAAUCUAGUUAGCUAUAUACUAUAUAACUAUCAUUGUAAGAAGAUGAAAAGAGUUAAUGUGAAAAACAAAUAUCUUCUCUGUCUAAAAUUCUAUUUCUCUCUCUGAAUAUUCAUUUCUUCUUCUGCAAGAAUACAUCUCCUCUAUACCUGUCGAUAUCUUUACAUGGUAUCAUUCGCCGGAAAAGCUUCAUGCUUCACGGUUUCUUGAUCUUGGUUCUUCUGCUUCCGCUCUGUUUCUUCUAUUUCUUGAUUUUUUAGGGUUCUCAUUUCCCUUUUCUUCUCUGGUUCUCGGUGUUUACGAUACUGCACACCAGGUGUUUGUUCUUUUGUCUCAGUGACAUUUUCUUCGAGUUCUUGAUUCCUAUUCGAUCAUGGUGACUGCUACACAAUUGCAGAUUCUUCAAUCUCCCAUUACCUCUCUCAUCUCAUCAGUUUCAUCUUCUGUUUCUGUGAAACUUGAUGAUUCAAAUUACCUCACAUGGCAUUUUCAGAUGGAGCUUCUUCUCGAUGGUCAUGGCAUUAUGGGGUUUGUCGAUGGUACAAAUCCUUGUCCUUCGAAUCUGAGUGAUUCAACUGAGUCUUCCAGUGAUUUGCAUACCAGUGAUGCUUUCAAGAUUUGGAAAAUGCAUGAUCGGGCUCUCAUGCAACUCAUCACUGCCACAUUAUCUCCUUCUGCGAUUUCGUGUGCUAUCGGUAGCACGAGUGCUCGGGACUUAUGGGUGCGUCUUAAAGAACAAUUUUCAAUUGUUACUCGGGCUACAAUUUUUCAGAUGAAAUCUGAGUUGCAGAAUAUUAAGAAAGGUACAGAUUCCAUUUCCUUAUACCUUCAACGCAUUAAAGAAGCUCGUGAUUACUUGGCUGCUGCUGGGGUUAUGUUUGCUGAUGAUGAUAUUGUGAUUUUAACUCUUAAUGGUCUGUCUUCCGAAUACAAUACAUUGCGAUCCAUUAUUAGAGGUCGGGAGAAUGUUAUUUCUAUGAAGGAUCUUCGCUCCCAAUUGCUUGCUGAAGAAGCAAUGCUUGCUAAUGUUUCUGUUACUCCUUUCCUGUCUGCAAUGGUAGCUAGCAAUAUGUCUGUUUCGUCUAAGUCUUCUCAAUUCGAGGCCAAUUCACCUCAUGAUAAUUACUCCAACACUGGUCCUUCAUUAAAUGGUGGUUCGUAUGGGUCUCAAGGAAGUUUUUAUCAAUACAAUGGGUCUGGUUCCAAGCCUCCUUACCACAGGAACAAGGGUAAAGGCAAGUAUCAAUACAACUCCCGGUUUGGUAAUGCCAAGUCUGGUUCUUUUCAUAACAAUGCCCCUGGUAUUCUUGGUUCCUCUCCACCAACGGCACAAGGGUUUUUUCAGUCUUCUUGUCAAAUUUGUGGCAAAUUUGGACAUCUAGCUGUUACUUGUCGGUUUCGAAAUACUGAGAAUUCUAUUACAGAGGCUUGUCAAAUCUGUGGGAAAAAGAAUCACAGUGCUCCUUUCUGUCAUUUUCGAAAUGCCAAUCUCCAAGCUCAGCAAGUGUCAGCUAUGCAUGUUGCUGGUCCAUCCUCUGUUCCGAGUGCUAAUUCUCAACAAGUGUGGCUUACAGAUUCUGGGGCUACAUCUCACAUGACUGCUGAUCUUAAUCAGUUGUCGUUGGCCUCUCCAUUUCCUUCCAAUGAGACAAUUCAAACUGCUGGAGGUGGUGCAGGUUUAUCAAUUUCCCACAUUGGUUCCUCAACUUUACAUACACCUUUCAAACCCCUGCAUCUUAAUUCAGUCUUAUAUGUUCCUCAACUCUCUCAGAAUUUGUUAUCUGUGCAUAAAUUGUGUCUGGAUAAUAACUGCUGGUUAAUCUAUGAUGCUUUCUGUUUUUGGAUCCAGGACAAAGCCACAGGGAGGAUCCUCUUCAAGGGACAUUGCAGUAAUGGACUGUAUCCUAUUCCUCUACCAGUUUCAUACCGUUCUUCCUUACCCAACGUACACGCUGCUUUCCUUGGACAACAUGUGUCUUCGAGUCUUUGGCAUAGUAGAUUAGGACACCCAUCCAAUUCUAUAGUAUCUGCCAUAUUACGCAAAUGCAAUGUAUCUGAUAUAUCUGAUAGUAAGUCUGUGAUGUGUCACUCUUGUCUAGAAGGGAAAUUUUGUAAAUUGCCAUUUGUGGAUUCUGUCUCUAAGUCCCUGCAUCCUUUUGAUACUAUUCAUAGUGAUGUAUGGGGUCCUUCUCCUUGUAACUUUGUAGAGGGUUUUAGAUACUAUGUGACAUUCAUUGAUGAAUGCACUAGACAUUGUUGGAUAUUUCCUCUCAUCAAUAAAAGUGAUGUUUGUUCAACUUUCAUUGCCUUUUACAAUUUUGUGUUCAAUCACUUUGCUAUUUCUGUUAAAACUUUACAAAGUGAUGGGGGAGGUGAAUAUAUUAGCAAGUCAUUUCAACAAUUUCUUGCAUCCAAAGGUAUUAAACACCAAUUGUCCUGUCCAUACACCCCUGAACAAAAUGGUCUAGCUGAAAGGAAGCAUAGACAUAUUGUUGACACAGCUAUAACCCUUUUACAAACUGCUUCCUUGCCUUCAAAAUUCUGGUCUUUUGCAUGCCAAGUUGCUAUCUAUCUUAUUAACAGAAUGCCAACACCUGUUUUACACAACAAAUCUCCAUUUGAGUUGUUGUUUAAAGAUGUCCCAGCUAUCAAUCAUCUUCGGGUUUUUGGAUGUUCCUGUUUCCCACUCUUAAAACCUUACAAUUCCAACAAGUUACAGCCUAAAACAACAAAAUGUGUCUUUUUAGGUUAUGCCUCCAGAUACAAAGGCUACUUAUGUUAUGAAGUGAGACAUCAAAAAAUGUACAUAUCUAGGCAUGUUAUUUUUGAUGAGGGUGAAUUUCCUUAUGCCAUGUUGUCUUCCAAAACCUUAACUUCAUCAUCCUUUACUCCUCUUUUGUCACCUUCUAUUUCUCUGCCUUCUGUCACACAUGAUAACCAGGUUGUCUCCAUAGCAUCUACAUCUACUUCACCUACACUUGAGUCCAUUUCUACCCCAACACAUGCUGAAUCCAUUACUGCACCGUCCAUACAGUCUGUGCUUCCUUCUUCCCCUGUGGCUGCAGUCCUGUCCUCUGGAUCCAAUCCUCAUGAUCAUACUGAGAUUUCUUCAGAGUUUCAACCUGAGAGUUUGCAAGUGGUUUCUUCUAUUCCACCUAUGAAUACACAUGCCAUGCAGACAAGAUCCAAAAAUGGUAUCUUCAAGCCUAAAGCUUUUCUCUCUAAAAUUGAAGCUGAUAUUCCAAUUGAUUUAACUCAGGUGGAACCCUCAACAUAUAAGUCUGCUCUUUCAUCCUCAGUAUGGUGUGCAGCUAUGAAAGAAGAGCUCUCUGCUUUGCAUUCUCAAGGAACUUGGUCAUUAGUUCCUCUUCCUUCAAACAAGAAUUUGGUUGGGUGUAAGUGGGUCUUCAAGAUUAAAAGAGAUGCAGAUGGGAACAUUUCUAGAUAUAAGGCACGCCUUGUUGCCAAAGGCUUCAAUCAAGAAGAGGGUCUUGACUAUGGGGAGACCUUUAGUCCAGUUGUUAAACCUACAACUGUGAGGUUAGUUUUGGCUUUAGCUGCACAAUUUGGUUGGUCUUUACGGCAACUCGAUGUGAAGAAUGCUUUUCUUCAUGGUAUUUUACAAGAAGAGGUCUAUAUGUCUCAACCUCCGGGUUUUGUUGACUCUCACCAGUCCUCUCAUGUUUGUCGGUUACAUAAGUCUCUAUAUGGCUUAAAACAAGCCCCACGGGCUUGGAAUGAGAGGUUUACCAACUUUUUGCCUUCUUUGGGUUUUCUUACAACAUUUUCAGACUCCUCAUUAUUUGUGAAACAUGUUGGCAACUCUGUGGUCAUUCUCUUGCUCUAUGUGGAUGAUAUAAUUAUCACAGGAAGUGCUACUGCAGCUAUUACUGAUGUUAUCCAGGCUUUAGCUCAGGAAUUUGAUAUUAAGGAUUUGGGACUCCUUCAUUACUUCUUAGGCAUCCAAAUUACUUAUCAUUCCACUGGAUUAUUUCUCUCCCAGGCUAAGUAUAUUACUGAUUUGCUUCAUAAGACUGAUAUGAGUAUUUCCAAACCGUGUCAUACCCCUUGUCUGCCGUAUACCAGGUUACUUAAAGAUGAUGGGACACCCUUUCACAAUCCAGCAUUGUAUCGCAGUGUGGUGGGGGCUUUGCAAUAUCUUACAUUUACAAGACCCGACAUUGCUUUCUCCGUGCAUCAGGUAUGUCAGUUCAUGCAUUGUCCCAUGGAGUCUCAUUUUCUUGCUGUGAAGAGAAUCCUCAGAUAUCUGAAAGGCACGAUGGAUUAUGGUGUUCACUUCAGCAAAGGAGAUUUAUGUUUACAUGCCUUCAGUGAUGCUGACUGGGCUGGGGAUCCCAAUGACUGACGGUCAACUACAGGUUUGGUGGUCUAUUUGGGGUCUAGUCCCAUUUCUUGGUCUUCCAAGAAACAAAAUACAGUUUCUAAAUCCUCCACUGAAGCUGAAUACCGAGCACUUUCAUCCACUACUGCAGAGAUUGACUGGAUCAAGCAACUUUUGCAGUUUCUUCGGAUUGAUGUUUCAUGUCCUGUCACUUUAUUUUGUGACAAUCUGUCUGCUAUAGCCUUGGCUUAUAAUCCAGUUAUGCACCAAAGGACAAAGCACAUUGAGGUAGACAUCCAUUUUGUUCGAGAACGGGUUGCCAAGAAGCUGCUUCAACUUCAAUUUGUUUCUUCAAAUGAACAAUUUGCCGAUAUUCUCACCAAGGGAUUGUCUACUCCAUUGUUUCAGACCCACUGUUCCAAUCUCAGGUUGAGCAAACCUCCUCCUGUGAUUGAGGGGGGAUGAUAACAGUAUAUAAAGCAAGCAUAACAGCUUGUGAUCGUGUGGUUGUAAUAGUGACAAGUGUAGUCAUCUUGUAAUCAUUGUGAUAGCUUAGAAAGUAAGCAAUCUAGUUAGCUAUAUACUAUAACUAUCAUUGUAAGAAGAUGAAAAGAGUUAAUGUGAAAAACAAAUAUCUUCUCUGUCUAAAAUUCUAUUUCUCUCUCUGAAUAUUCAUUUCUUCUUCUGCAAGAAUACAUCUCCUCUAUACCUGAGGUAGAUAACAAGUAUGAAUGAAGAGACUGGAGGCACCAUGAAGUUUCCAUUCUUUUGUUUCUACAAAAUUUUGGAAAGAUGGAAUUGUUGUCAAGGAUGGAAGUUGGCGUUGGGCUCCCGAAAUAGGGUUGAAUAGAAACAUAUCUUUUUCCUUUUCUUUGACCAUAAAUAACCACCCUUUACUAGAACCAAAUAACUUCCCUCUUUGAAUUGGCUCUGGCACCCUCAACUUGUGAAAUUUGCCACCAUCGAAAGGGCUGAGAAACCUCAUGCGGUCGUCACAGAUUCGAGGGAGUAAUAACCAGGGGAGCUCUUGAGCACCACGGACGUCUCCCCGCAUACAAACGCCCAAGACUUGCAUGAUAAGCCUAAGCGUAUUCGAUCACUUAAAUUCAGGCGCCUUACAACAAUCUCCAAGAUAUCACCAUGUGUUCUAUGCCACCUACACUACUCGACGUCUGAUGUCUUGAAGAAUUCAAGAGGUAAUAGUUUCUUGAGCUUGAAGAAAGGGAACCAGCUUCUCAAAGAGAGGUAGUCACCCAAAUUUUGAUAAACCGAAAAUAGAUCACUCAUCUCUCUCUUUAAUUAUAUGCAGAAAAGAUUAAAGAAAGAUAAAUGGUCGAUAUUCAAUUCUUGGAUGUCAAUGCUCUAUUUAUAGGACUGCAGCUUAUAGUUAUUCAUAUCCGUGUUUACAGUGUUUUAUUCUUCUCUCUUAAUUUUAACAAAUUUCCUAGUCCUAGUCGCAGCUAUGGAACCGGACGUAAAGACCCUUAAGAUUGACGAUGUUGUGACCCUCUCUUCAGACAACUUCCGCCCCUUUUACAGAACACCACAGUUGAAACACCUUUCCAAGGUCAUUGCUGGAACCGCCCGCGUAGGAGAAGUUGCGACGAUAAGAUCAGAUUAGUUUUUGGGCUCCUUCGCCUCCAAGAGUCCAUCUCCAGUUGCUGGCAUUUGUUUCUUUUUUUUUUUUUAUCGAACAACAAUAUUUUACACUAAUAAAGAGAUAAUUGGACCAGUCCCUAAAUUUUAGUCUAAUUGGAGUUUUAGUGCUUGAGUUAUAAACAUGUGAGUGAUAGUACCUGAACUUAUUACAAUAUAAAACACUAGUCAUUUUGGGAAAUGUAAUUAGAACUUCCUUUUUUUUGUACCCCUUUAAAACUCUUAUUUUGGAUGGAACUUUCAAUAGCUACUCAAAAUGACUAUUACUCCACAUUGUGAGUAAUUUAGAGACUAAUACUCAUGAAUUAGUUCAUGAACCAAAACUCCAAUGUUAAAGAUCAACACCAGCUCAUUAAGAUCAAUCGGUACAAAAGAACUAGAUUGUUCUGGUUUAAAUAUGCAUGUAAGGUGGCUGUGCAUGCAUUGAAAAUGCUAGACAAUUCUAGCACCAAAGUAUAACUAGAAGGUUAGUAAAAUGUGAAGCGCAUGUCGGUGGGCUGUUUGUGUAAAGAACUAGAAAUCUAGAAAAAUGUUUUUGUUUGUAGAAAAGUCUAGAACAGCUUAUUGCUAGUUGCUAGGAUGAAACGGGCCAAGAGAGAGUAACUAAGAAGAGAAACUAAAAACUAAGAAGGAAGAAAGCAACUAAGUAAGAAAGUAAGAGUAGCAACCAAGAGAGAGUAGCAAGUAGGCAAGCAAACCAAGUGAGAGUGAGAAACACGAGUAGUUUUGUGUGAUGUGAGUGAUUUAGAGUUUGUCUCUAGAAAGUGAGAGAGUGUCAUAGCUUCUAAAUUGUGUCUUUAAGAAUUGUUGUAUUGUAAUAUUUUGUAAGUGUAAUACAAGUAAUUUGUUUACUUAUUGUCUUUUCAACACUUGUGCUAGAGUUGUGUACUCUAAUUUUCCUCAACAUCCAAUUGAGCCGAAGAACAUUGCUUCAAUUUUCUCAUAAAUAAAAUAUGAACACAGAUAUUAAACUUGCUCAUUUUCUUCCUCAUAGAAAAGCACAUUUUCUCCCUCAUAGAAAAGCACAUUUUCUCUUUUAUGAUUGAAUGUUCUUUAUUCCCAUGCAUUUUCCACUCCGCCUCUCAUGCAAUUAAUACCUAUAUAUAUAUAUAGGCCCUUUAUGCAAAGGGAUUCCCAUUUUUUUCAAAAAAUGGGGAUUAGGUGUGAGGCUCACUCCACAUCGAACUUCAACAAUCCGAACGUCUAUUUUGUAAGUCUCGGUUCAUAGAUCAUUCUUGCAAAAAUUCAAUUCAAUCCGAAACCAUUUGCCUAUUUAAUUAUCAAGAUAAAAUUUCAUUGUUUCUUAUAUAACAAAGUAUUCGUUCAUUUCUUUGAACUCAAUUAGAUAUCUUAAACAUUUCCGAUUUGGCUAAUAUUUUGUAAGGAUGAUCUAUGAGAUGCAACUUGAAAAAUAGACGGUUCGGAUCGUUAAAGUUCGAUGUAAUGUGAACCCCACAACUAAUCCCCAUUUUUAUAAAAAAAAAUGGAGAUCCCUUUCCUUAAAGAUUUCCUAUAUAUAUAUAUAUGUAUGUAUGUAUGUAUGUAUUCCUCCAAGAAACCAGAAUCAAAACCAUGACUGACAAUAACAGGAUUAUCAUCUUUAUUGGGCUUUUUCUUACUUGAUAUCGAUUCGCAUCGUAGAUGCCUCCGUUGUUUCAACUGGGGACUUCAACAAAGAUUUCUUUGUCACAUGGUCUCCUAGCCAUGUAAACACUUCAGCUGAUGGCAAGACAAUGAGUUUAAAGCUUGACCAAGAAUCCGGUACAUGAUCAAUAUUCAUAAACUCUCUUAAUUAAUUUUGGCUUAUAGCAUGUUGGAAUUCUGAUAAUGUUGUUUUUCGUUUCCCCUGGGCGCUGGUUUUGCUUCAAACCAGAUGUUUUUAUUUGGACAAAUUGACAUGCAGAUUAAACUAGUACCAAGCCAUUCAGCAGGCACAGUUGUGGACUAUUAAUAGUCUAUUAUAUAAGCAAAAAAAACAACAAUUUUUCUUCAAACGAACAUUUUUGCUAAUGACUGAAUAACUAAUGGAUUGUUUAUGAUCAACUUGAAAUUAAUCAAUGCAGUUGACAUCUGAUCAACCUAACCGUGACGAGGUAGACUAUGAGUUCCUAGGCAAUGUGGAAGGCAAACAAUAUGUCCUCCAAACAAACAUUUUCGCUGAUGGACUGAUAACUGCGAAGAGAGGAUCAAUCUAUGGUUUGAUCCAACAAAGGAUUUCCAUACCUAUUCCAUAUUAUGAACCUUCACCAAAUUGUGUAAGCCAUCUAUCAAAUCUGAUCAGUACUACUUCAUUUUAGAAUUGCUUUUACAUAUUUUGUUAAGUACACAAAAUAAAUUUAUGGGAAAAUUUUGGUGUACUUUUGCUGUUUGUAGUUAUAGCAGACCGGUGUAGCAUUUCCAACGUGGCAGCCAAUGAGCAUCAAAGCCAGCCUAUGGAACGGCGACAGCUGGGCAACGAGAGGUGGCCGCGACAAAAUUGAUUGGUCAAAAGGCCCCUUCACAGCUUCACUAAGAAAUCACAAGAUUGAUGCCUGUGUUUGGAAGGGAAAUGCCAGGUUUUGUAGGGCAUAGAGCCCUACAAACUGGUGGAAAGGUUUAGUACCCUGUCAAAUGCACAGAGAAGGUUGUUCAAAUGGAUUAGGAAGUACCACAUGAUUUAUAAUUGGGACACUUUGAAUGCGGUCCCUAACUAUCAAUAUUCUUUGACUGAAAUUUUGUUAGUUUUUAGUUUUUUAUUGAAAUCCCUGACAUUAAUGUAAUAAUGUAAGUUACUAUAUUUUUAAAUUAAAAAUUAAAAAUUGAAAUUUGUAAUUGUUUAUAUUAAUGAGAUUUUAAAUAAAACCCAUAAUUUGCGAAGUUAAAAAUAAAAAAAUAUAAAUUAUACUCUCUAUUAUAUUGUGUGUGUGUGUGUACAUAUAUAUAUGGGUACAUUCACCAAAAUUAACUUUAUUGUACAAAAUAUGGGUACAUUCUUCAAAAUUACAAAAGAAAAAAAAAAGAUAUCACACUUAAUAACAUUAGUAAAUUUUUUCGAUCAAACUUGAUAUGGAUACAUUUUCAAAUCAACGAAAAAGAAUGUACCCAUAUAAGUUUAAAAAUGGAUUAAAAAUGGAUUUUAUAUUGAAAAAAAUGGUACAUUUUACAUAUAACAAAUUGGUAUAUUUAAGAAUGGGUACAUUUAAUAUUAAAAAAAUUGAAAAAUUAUAUGAAGGGCUACAUUUAAGGUUCAAAAAUUGAGAAUCUUUUUAUAAAAGAAAAAACUAAUGGGUACAAACUUAAUCUAAUUUUAUAUUUUUUUAUUAUUUUGGAAAUGUUUGAAUUGAAAAUUAAUUAUGAGUUUAAUAGAGAAGUGAGUAUUAAACCCUAAAUUAAUUACUAAUUUUUAUAUUAAAAAAUUUAUGUAAUAAACAUGUAAAUUCAUUAUCACAUUAAUGUUAGGGCCUUCAAUCAAAAUUUGAAAACUAAUAAGGUGUGACAACCCGUCCCAAAUUCUACAUUUUUAUUAAUUUUAAAAGCGUGAUUUUACGAAAAUGUCCUUAGAGGCGGGAGUAUUGACUUUCGUGAACAGCGUAUAGUGAGGUGUACAAAUUAAUCCUUUAGAUUUUUCCUGAAGUACUCGACAUUACGGACUUAUAGGCGCAAGCAGAAGAGGAUUUGGGGUUACGGUUAAAGUUUUACGAAACUGUAAACUCGAGAAGUACUUUGGUUUCAGUCACUAUUUAUAUUUUUAUAUAUUUUUAUAAUGUUGAUAUUAUUUAUCAAUUAAUUAUUUUAAAGAGGAAGAGGAAGAAGAGGAAGAGAAAGAAGAGGAAGAGGAAAAACGAAAAAAAAAAAGAAAAAAGAAAGAAGAAUGGCUACUGCCCAAUCAGGAAGAAGAGUGAGGUAGGGGACCAACUAGAGAAAAAGUAAGGAGGGAAAGGAGAGAAGGUAGGGAAGGAAAAUGGCAACCAAACCCAUGUGACCCGGUUAUAAUCGGAGGAUUUCUACGGCAAAAUCCAUGGUUUUUCCGAUGAAUUGGACCAAGGUACCACUUCCAAACACUAUCUAGCCCUUCCCUCUUCCUUUUGUCAUCUCAAUUUAGAAGAAAUUGUUGUAAACGGGGGAGGAACCGUCGGUGGGUGCGACGGAUUCGUGCAAGAAAUCCCAAAAUCAUGAAGCUAUUCCCACCAAUUACCAUCACCACUAGACUCCUUAUGAGGUCUAGAUCAAAUCCCAGUCAGUUGUAGGGUGGGCGGGGUACCGGAGAUGGCGAAUCAAGAAGCACCCAAACUUAGGGUUCUGACGGGUUUUAGUAAAAUUGGGAUUUUUCUAGGCCAAAUCGGCCUUAGUCACAGGUAUGAAAGUUACUCCACUCACUGAGAUCGUCAUUUCUGCAAAAUUGGUAAUUUUUAGAAGUAGUUGAAUUUUCCGGCGAGUUGGGGCGGCCGACCGCCACCCACAACGACGCGUGCGGCGGCGUGUGACCAGUAGGCCACCAAUGUAAUUUUUAGGCUAUGUUAAAUGUCUUGAAUUCAGUUUUGAUAUUUGAAUGACGUAGGUUGAUUGCUGGAACCUAAAUUCUCUACAAUACGUUAUUAGGUAUUCAGGUGAAUCGACAAUCCGACCGUUGGAUCGUCACCAAACUUUGUUACAUUGUAGUACGUAAAAUUUGAAGAAUGUAGGAACUUACAGAUUGGGAAUCCAACGUACGGAUCUUCCCGACUUGGAUUUGUAAGUUCAUAAAAUAAAACGUUAACCACUAAUCAGUUUUGGAAAUUGGCGGAGAUCCAACCGUUGGAUCGUAAUGAAAUUUAAGUAUGUUGUUCUAGAAGUCAUGAGAAGUUACGGAUUGGAAAUCUGAGAUGCAGAUCUUCCGGAUCGAGUUUUGCAGGGUUGUGGACCCAACCGUCAAUCGAAUGUCAAUAGGUCUCAAAUUAUUCUAGAAGGUCCUUAAGGAUAUGUUUUAUGUAAAUUAUGUAUUCUAUCGGUAAGAACUUUGAGACGUGAUUUGACAAUUGGUCAUAGGCGAUGAUAGUUCGUGAUGUCUCCAUAUUUGUGCGAGGGACUCGUAGUGCGGACCUAAGGCGUAGGUAUUUUCCCUUCUAUUAUAUAUAUAUAUAUAUAAGCUUGAUAUCUCCACAAACGUUUAUAAAUUAAAUAUUCAUAUAAUUUCUGUGAAUGCUUUGGAAGACUAAUGCGAACUACGAAUGGCUUAAUCCCUGUUUAGGGUACAUAGGCAGUCUAAAGAGACGUUAGAUGUAGCCAUAUAAUAAAUGGGACUAAAUAAUUGAGACAAUAGCCUUGUUUGGGGAAUUGAACAAUGCAAAGGAUAUUAGUGAAAAAUGUGAGAUCUAACCUUGCGAGUUGGUGGAUAAAUGUUGGUCAUAAAUCAAUAUGUGAGGAAUCAAGGAAUUGAAGUAAGGAAACGUAAGUAAUGAUGGUUGAUUACAUUAGGUUUUAGAUGAGCUUAUGACCGAUGACUAUUUCCUAAAAUAAAUAUGUCGGGAGUAGGGUGUUAUAGUUCAUGCAUUUUUACGCCACAUUAUAUAUAUAUAUAUAUAUAUUGGAAAAAUACUAUGAUAUGGUUGAGUUUUAGAUUUGUAUUAUGGCAUAUCCAUGUGUAUACUACUUGCACAAAAUUAUUAUGAAUGUUUGAAGUGCAAAGAUGAAUGCGGAACACACAGGUAAGUUCAGGUGAGUUAUGGUAUUAGUUGAAAGGAUUGAGUUAUGGCAUAAUCACAGUAUGUUUUAGGCAACUCCAACAUUAUCGUACAAGUUGCCUAUGAGUUGUAUAUAUCACAUGAGAUGCAUUUAAAGCUCAUAAACUUGCACCCCCAUGUUAGUGCUCCCGCCCGUGACCAGGACAUAGUCAUUCACGUGAUGUUCACCUCCCGCACCUUAAACUCACCUUGGAUCCAAGGUAGGUGCAGAGUCCUGUCGUACAGACCACUAUAGUUGGUUCCGACUCGUAGGUGACCCACGAUUAUUCGCACAGUCUUCACAUGAUUGUAGCACUUGAGCGUAUUUAUUUACACCCAGUCUUGUCGUACAUACCACUUUAGGUGGUUCUGACUUGUGUGCAAGUAUACUUAUUGAGCUAUGGAUAAGUCAUACAAGUCAUUAGAGGUGACUCCGACUUAUGAGCUAGCAUAUACGAUGAGUAUGUGAUGAGCUAGCAUAUGUGAUGAAAUAUGUGAUGAGCUAGCAUAUGCAAUGAGAUAUGUGAUGAGCUAGCAUAUAUGAUGAAAUAUAUGAUGAGCUAGCAUAUAUGAUGAAAUAUGUGAUGAGCUAGCAUAUAUAUAAUGAGAUAUGUGAUGAGCUAGCAUAUAUGAUGAAAUAUGUGAUGAGCUAGCAUAUGUGAUGAGAAAUGGAUAAGUCGUACAAGUCACGUGAGGUGACUCCGGCUAGCAUGUUGAUGAGCUGUUAAUUCAGCCGUACAGCCCACUAUAGGUGGAUCCGGCUAAUAUGCCAUUUCAUAUUGAUCUAUUUCACCUGAGUACUUAUUCUUAUUGAGAUAUUUGACAUUGUAUAAUUGUGAGACUAUUAUUUUGGUUAUGGUAUUGAUUUAUAGUCAUGCCUAUUAUUCCGGGAAAUUAUACAGGUAUUACGGUGAGGGGCUACUGUUUUUUAUAGUUGGAAUUUGUUUGAAAAGUUUUGUUUCACUCACUCACAUUUUCUAUUUUUGUACCCCUCGAGGUUCUAGCAGUAGAGUUCCGUAUCGACGAGGAUUCGUGGCACUUUUCAGUACAUAUGUUUUCUUGUGAUGGUAUGAUCAUUGUCUCAUCUUACUGCACUAUACCUAUGCUCUGUAUCACGCGUGAAAUGGGUCCAGAUCCGCUCACCGCGCACUCGUGUACUUAGGGACUUUAAGUUUUAAUGUAUUCACAUUUUAUACAUUAUCACACUUUAUGGCUUCGUCACCUUCUAGGUGUCGGGCAGCACAGCUUGAUUUGGAGUCCUAGUGGAUAUUCCGGGUCGGGGUGUGUCAUAAGGUCUUAGUCAAUGAAAAUUAGGAACUAGGGACCAGAUACUAAUUUUUCUCUUAUAAUUAUUGCCAAGAUAAGGAGAGGUUCCAAGGCAACCUUGAAAGCGUACACACACAGACACACACACACACAUAUACAUACAUACAUACAUACAUACAUACAUACAUACAUACAUACAUAUUAGAGACUUGGAAGUAAAGUAACAUUUUCUUUUGGAAUUCCCUUGCAAGAUGCCAAAAUGUUUCUUCACUUUUUGGUUAUAUUGAAUUUGAAAGAAAAGGCGAAGGAUGUAUUCAUAGGGCCUCUGACUAUAGUAGUAGAAAACCUUGUUUUUUCAUUUUAUUUUGAUUUCCAUAAAAAAAUUAAAGGGCUUUCCAAUAAUUAUUCUAAUUUAGUGGCACCAAUUUCCACUUUGAUCAUGUAGAUUGUUAGUUUAAAUAUUGCAAAUGAGAUUUUAUAUACUUCAUUAAUCAACGAGUGUCUGCUGUGCAUGAGAUUUAAACUCAAGACUUACAAUAAAGUGGAGAUUAGAUGCUACUAAAUUAACGUAUCAUAAUGAAUUUUGUUAUCUCUAAUUAGCGAUUUAAAUAUAUCAUUAAUGAUCCUUGCAUCCUGUAUUCUGCAUAAGAAGUGGUGGGUGAUCCCGCUAGACUGACAAAAUUAAAUAUGACGAUAACAGUACACAAAUUUUGUUUCAUGAAGGGUUUGUAUCUGGCCUUAUCAAGUCAGAUAUGUAACAAGUUGACUUGAUAAGAAUACAUUUCUUUCUUAAUUGGUCGGAUUCUUGAUUAUUCACGACAUUUAACACUCCAGUACACGUGUUUAUAAAUGUUGCAUAAUGCGGUAUAUUUAAAAUUUUAUAUCCUAUUAACAAAAUAAAAAAAUUAAUGAGUAAAAUUGACAAAUACCAUAAGAUUAAAUUUAUGAACAAAUUGAUCUUUUCUAGCCCAUUGUGAAGUUAAUCCUACCCCCUCCCCUUAAUUGUAGAGAAUAUUGUUUGUUAAGAGGUUGAAUUUGUGGUGGGAAUAUUUUCACCUGACACGAGUACGAUAAAACACAAAACGUCGCUGAACAAUCUUUUUCCUGAAAAAUGUGAUGACAGAACAGUGACCCAAUCAAGAAAGGCCCAUAUUUUACAAAAAAUAAAAAAAUAAAAAGGCCCAGAGUGAAUAAUGGGUCUGAAGGCCCGAGUGUUGACGAUUAAUAUCUAAAAUGAUAAGGAAACUAAUGAAAAGAAUUUGAAACUUUGAGUUUUAACGAUAAGGACAAAAUAAAAGGUAAAAUAAAUAGUAUUAGAAUUAAUUUUUUAAUGUAAAAAUAUGAUUUUUCGUUAAAAUAAAUAGUACUGUAACUUUUCGUUAUAGUUCCUAAAAUUCUAAUGCAGCAAAAUUAGAAUCAAAGAAAAUAAAAAUUGCCGUUUCGUCAAAUCUUGUCGCAGCCAAAAACCCUAAACCCUUUGAGAGCACAGACAGAGGAAGAUGGGAAAUACAAGCAAAGACCUUCUGCAAUUCGAGCACAAAAGGGCUUCAACUUCACCUUUAGGUCUCUCUCUCUCUCUCUCUCUCACGCGCGCUCGCUUUCUGUGGAAACUCAUGUAGCUUACUCUGGGUGUAUUCUCUUGCAGAAAGCACGCUACUUGUCUGUAAAAAUGCCUCAACGAAGAAAGCUCAACCCGAAGGGAAACCCGGCCCUGCUCUUCCUCUUCCCAAAAGCCAAGGUUCUCGAUUUUUUCCCAUUUAAAUUUGGGUUUUUUUUUUUUUUUUUUUUCAAUUGUGAAAACUUCAAUUUAAAGGAAUUUGAAUUGUGGGUUCUUGGUAAGAGAUUAAAUCUGAGAUCGAUUUGAUAUGAUGGGCACAUAUAUGAAUGUUUUUAUUUUCCAGCUGGUAAUUUUCUAUGUUGGUUUCUACUUGGCCGGCUAAAUAAUGUUUAAUUCUCAAAUGGGUCUAUAAUUUGGUGAUGGAUGCUUAAUUUCUUUUAUACAAGGUCUCGAUGCUAAUCAGUUAAUCAGCAUAAUGCCUGUGCUGCUUGUCUUCUUUUUACAUUUCCCCCAUUUAUAUUUUGUUUUGGAACUUGCUAAGUUACUAAGUUGUAGUGGUUUGAGUUAUAACUUAGAAGGGUGUGACUCAAGUCUCCUGUCAUUGGGCUCGUCUCAUCCUUCAUAAACCUGCGCUGAAAUUUCAUAGUUUAAUUCGACGAGAUGGGAUUAUUUUUGUGCUGUUUAUCUUUUCUUGGCCCCUGGUGUUAUUAUUUUCUUCCUCUUUUGGUUCGUUGGCAAGAAUCUUGCUUGAGAUAGAGGGUAGUAAGUACUUCAUUGUCGGCUUGAGAUUGGCUUCAAAUCUCUGUUCAUGUCUAUCCACUACAAUCAAUUACAUACCUUACCUUGGAAUUCUGUUUCUCAUACAUUGUUUCCGUAUUCAUAUUUUUCCGGUUCAGUAGAGAAUUUCUACCUUUACAUGUCAAUUAGUUUUUCGUUCUCUCUUUCAUUAGAGAACUUGCUUUACUUAGUUCUAGCUGAAUUUUCUCAAAUGUUUAGUAGUCAAUGUGAUGCUUUAUACGCUAGCUGAUGAUUGUGUAUGUCGUGAAGGGGUCAUAACAAUGGUUUAGCGUUGAGAAAAAUCAAAUGUGUGGCAUGUGUGGCAUGAUCUCAGGUUAGAGGAUUUCUGCAAUUGGGCAAGCCUAUGCCCCAAGUAUUUAGUUGUUUUAGGCAACUGAAGUCUUCAUUGAUGAUCAGGAAUGGUGACGAUAGAAAUUUGAAAUAGAUUAGAGAAUGUUGUAGUAUCAAAUCUGAGGCUGAAGAGACGGAUGUUCUAAACUGUUUUGCCUUGCCCCCUUUUUUUUUUUAGCUCAAACAGAAGUUUUCAAUUUAUCAUGUACUUGAGAUUCUCUGCUUCUGUUUUAUUUGUAGUGUUGUUUUGUUAGAAGUGCCUUGCAAAAUUUUGUUCACAGUAUUUGCUUGCUUGGGCUGUGCAGUUUUGGGACUAGUAAGGGACUUCUUGGGAGUCAUAUCAGAAGCUAACGAACGACUAAAGCAGGAUGCAAAGGUUGGCAUAUUGAUCUUGCAACCAAAUCUAGAUUGUUUAUCCCGAUUCUAACAUCCUUUAAAACACCUAACCUGUGUUUUCUCAUUUACUGAUAUGUAGGAUAAUCCAGAAAACUACGAUAUUGAAGUGCUCACUGGAAAUGAAUCUCAAGUCGUUAAUAUGGUCCCUAUCUCUCUUUCGCUCUUGCUCUUGCGUAUGCACACACAUACACAUACACGCUCACAGAUUAUUGAUCCCCUUGGAUAAUAACUGAUUUGUGGGUGGAUCUGAAUUGACAGGAGUUGAUGCUGGGCGUUGCUGAUCUUCAAACUCCUGAGGCUGUGGCUGCUGCUGAAUCUGCAAUUGUUGGUUGUCAGCCUGUUAUACCAUUGGCCAUCAACAGUAGCGGAGAGGAAUCAGAGGAUAGCAGUGAUGGUGACAGCAGCAGCGAUGAUAGUGACGACGAAGAUGGUUCCGAUGAUAGUAGCAGCAAUGAUAAUGACGACGAAGAUAGUGAUGAAAUCAAAGAUGAUACAAUUGAUAAAGAGGAUAAGAAAACAACCUCUCAUGCAAGGCUCAAAACACGCAAGUCGGAUAAAGAUAAUUCUAUGAGUGAUGAUGCUGGUAACAAUCGGUCCCAAAAACGACCGAAAAUUGUUGAGCUCUCACGAAAGUCUUGUGAGAUCUAGUCAUAUAUAGAGUUAAUGUUUAUGGAACUAUCAAUUUAUUGUAAUAGUUGGGCAGUUCUUAAGACUUCCACACAGUGAGAAGGGCAUAUGAUGAAUGAUUCUGGGAGACUCUGGAAGAGACAACGAGUUGUAUGAAGAGUACAAAAUAUCAUUAUAUCGUUAAUGUGAUUUCGUAUGUAAUUUCACGGUUUCACCCAAAUCAUUCUAAGUACGAUGUUUGUCGAUGAAUUUUAUGAUGAAAGGUAAUUGUUCUGCAAAUUUAUCAGUUCUGCUAAGUUCUUCUGCCACUCAAACUGUAUACAGUUCGAGGUGAAUCUAUGAUUGUAACUUCUUCUAACAUCGAAUGAACAACGCUUAAAAUGUAGAAGAAAAUCCUUUGGCAACAUUGUCAUGCAUUUGGUACAUACCACAUAGAGGAAACUUAAAAUUUAAGUUACAAAGGCAAUUACAUCGACAUCUCUAGGAUGACACCACAUCGGGCCGGAGUCGGAUUUGCCCUGCCAUAUCCGGCUCCACAAAAAUUUUGCCAUCCCUAUCCCCGUCCCCAUAAACAAAGGGAUUUAGUUGUAAAUAUUUUUUUUUUGUACAAGCGAUAAUGUGGUUCAAAUUCACUUUUCACGAAAAUAGAACCUAAUACCUCUCACUUACAAGUGAAGAGGAAUACCACUAGACCGUAGUAUUAGAUAUGAAUAACAAAGAAUUCAAGCAUUAUGUAUAGAGGAAAUUAUAGUAAUGGUCCCUCAACUCUUAAUGCAAUUGGAGUAACGGUCCCUCAAUUAAAAUCCAUAACUAUUAGUUCCUUAACUCAUCAAAACAUGCAAUUGUGGUCCUUCUUGUCAAAUUGGUUAGAACUUUCGUCAAAAUGAGUUACAUGUCAUGCACGUGAGGCUGAAUCAAGAGUUAAUAUGGAAAACCAAUUGGAGAAAUAGUCCCUCAAUUUUAAUCCAAUUGGAGUAAUGGUCUCUCAACUUUAACCCAAUUGUAGCGAUGAUCCUUCCAACAUGACUUAUUUUGAUGAAAUUUUGACAGAGUUGACGAAAAAGACCAUAGCUGCACGUUUUGAUGAGUUAAGGGACCAAUGAUUAUGAAUUUUUAGUUGAGUGACUAUUGCUUCGUUUAGGUUAAAGUUGAAGGACUAUUGCUACAAUUUUAUCUUAUAUAUAUAAAAGAAAGCUUACCCCUCUAUAUUAGUCAUAUAUCUUGCUUACCUACCAACAACUACAAGACCAAGCAAUUUAAAUUAAAAAGGUACAAGACAACCAUUAUUUUAUGUCCUUUAAAAUGGGCCGGCCACACCCUAUGUCAAAUAUGUAAGGCCCUAGCCCAUCUCAUGGGCCGAGAAAAUUUAGGCCUAUCAGCGGGCCCCUAAACUCUGAUCUUUUGGCCUUUCAAUAAUUUAAAUAAAAAAUAGUAAUAAGACCUUAAGACGCAAAGUUCAGACCUUACACAUUUAAAAUAGAGAACUUUAACGAAAAACAUCCGGUACUGUUCACUUUAACGAAAAACCACAUUUUUACACUAAAAAGUCAAUCCUGAUACUAUUCACUUUACCCUUUAUUUUGUCCUUAUCAUUAAAACUCAAAGUUUUCAAGCCCUUUUUAUUAGUUUUCCUUUUAAAAUAGGGCCAGAUAAAGCUCGACCUAAGACUGGAUCGGGCCAACCCAUCGGGCCUCGGUCUUAUUUUACCGGCAUAGUUUUUUGGGAACUUUAACGAAAAGCACCCGGUACUGUUCACUUUAACGAAAAACCACAUUUUUACACUAAAAAGUCAAUCCUGGUACUAUUCACUUUACCCUUUAUUUUGUCCUUAUCAUUAAAACUCAAAAUUUUCAAGCCAUUUUCAUUAGUUUUCCUUAGUUUUUUAACCUUUAAAAAGAAAUGAAAUUACAUAAAUACCCUUGGUAACCAAAAGCAAACAGUGCACCGUCUCUUAUUUCAUCAAAAGCCUCAAAGGAUUAAUCCUUAUAUUCUUUUUUGUGGUUUGAUCAUAACUAAUUAGUAGCCAUGCAUGCAUCCAUGGAUCUGGGCUUAUUAGCUGCUAAUUAUCAUAAGAGUAAACAAAAUUCAAAGAUUUUGUGGUUUGGUCAUAAAAAAAUUGACUGUUAGAUCGUUGUAAUACAUUACGGAGGUAAGCCUCACAAAAAUAGUGUUUCAAAUAGAAGUCAAAAUCGCGUAUCCCUGAAUCUUAACCAGAAAUAUUAUAAUACACGUAUUUAUUUAAUUUUAUUAAUAGUCUCUAAAGUAUCAAAUUAUGUCAUUCUCUUAUAUUAUAACAUGUGAAUUAAUAACAUUAUAUACUCACUAAAAGCAAAUUUGAACCAUGUUAUUGCUAGUUUAUUGUGAGGUUUAGCCCACUCCUCUACCCCUUGAGUAGAAAUGAUAUCGUUUGUCAAAAAAUAACACUAUAUAUUGAUGGUACCAGGAUCACCCCAAAUAUUUGUUUUUAGAAAGGGAUAUCUAUGUGGUUAUCCACUUAACUAAACUUUGGUAUAAUUAACCGAACUCCAAUUUUUUUUUCCUAGUCCCUGUGGUGACACAGUACUUUCAAUGUGAACCUCGUGAUGAAAAAGUUUUUAAUUAAACUCUUGUGGUGGGCCUUGUUAGCAAUUGAGGUCCAAUCCUUCGUUAGUCUUCUGUUAAAUAAACUCACGUGACUAUCACAUGGAGGGUCAAUUUUGUCAUUUAAAUCCAAAUUACAUCAUAUUCCAUGAACAUCUAGUAUGAGUUAGGGUUUAACUAAAAUUAGAUUUUACCAAAAAAAAAAAAAAAAAAAAAAAGGUUGAACGCAAAGAGUGAAACUAAACCUGUAAAACCACAUCAAUGGAGAAUUUGCAAAGAAAGAAGAGAGGGAGAAGUUGCAAAGAAAGAAGAUGUUGGAGGAGCAAGGGAGGUUAAGUAACUUAAUAGAGAAUUGGGGAAGCUUUUGAGUGGGUUUCCAGUGAGGGAUGUCGAGUUUGUAUGUGAGCGAUGUUUGUUGUAGCCUAGGUUUGUGAGACAGAGAAGAUGGGAUGUUUGUGAGGGAUGUGGGGAUGCAAGGUUUGCACCAUGUCCAGAGAAAGAAGAAGGGAGAGAUAUUGAAGAGAGAGAGAAGUCAGGUGGCAUCAUUUCCUAACAGCCUUGCACUACAAACCGACGUAGCCGAAGUUUAAAAAACAAAUCGAUGCUGCCGAUUAAUCGAUCUAUAACAAUUGGUUGCCAUGACAAAAUCUUAAUUCUUCAUUCACUCAUUUGGGAUUUUAUUUUCUAUAUGGGUGCAAAAAUGAAUUUAUAUAUUGAAUCGGAUUUGUGAGAGUAGUUUAGGUAGUAAAUUUGAGUUUAAAGAGAUAUUGAAUUUUUAAUUAAAAAUAAUGUGGAUGUAAAGAGUAAGGUGUAAAAAAGGUUAUAUAGUUCAAAUAAAAUUUCCCUUAAGAUAGGCUAGUGUUUCCUGUUUGGUUUUAGACUUUUAUAAUUGGGGUUGAAAUUGCGCUAGGAUUUUGUUAAAUUAGACUAAUAUUUUACUUUGAAUUUGGAUUAAAAAAUGAAUACCCAAAAUAAAUAAAUAAAUAAUUAAAUUAAUAUACAUUUAAUUCGGUUUGGUUCAAUUUUCAAACUAUUGAAACCAAAAUCGAACAAGAAGAAUUCGGUUUGGUUUGGGUUUUUUAAUGUGGUUCCUAUUUUUGCUUCGGUUGGGUGUUUCAAUUUGGUUUUUUUUGUUUUUUUUAACCCUUUUCGGCUUCAGAUUAUUAUGGAAAAGCAUGUGGAGUGUAUUAAGAUAAUUUUUAAUUGAAAAAGUCCAAAUCUUACAGUUGCCAAGUCCAAAUCUUAUAGAUGACAAGUUAAAAUCUAACUCCACCAAGAUUGUUGAUUUGUUUAAAAUAUUGUUAUUAAAAAAUUCUUUUGGACAACCAAUCUAGUUGAUUAAGACAAGAUUUAAAAUCUGAUACUCUGAAGCACUAUACAAUUCUUUUUAUAAAAGAUAUAAAUUGAAGGUGGAGGAAUAAAUUGGUUAUAAACAUAUCAUUUACAAGAUUUAAACUUGCCUCUAUUACAUUAUUUAACCAUAAAACAUGUAGAGAAACACCAAAACUUGGCCUAAAUUGUCCCCGCGUGCGCAAGUAAGUGUGAAAUCCUGCAAUUGAGUUUCAUUAUUCAAUUUUCGCGUUUCAUAUUUACAUGAUUUUAUUUUAGUUUCUUUAAAUUGGAUCUUUGGUUGGUAAGUUAAAGUUUGAUUUUAUGUAGUUAGCCAAUAAAAAUCUGUAACUUUUAGGGGGUCACUUUUGGACUUGUUGGAUAAAGCUCGAUCUCAUGAGCGUGAAGGCGAAAAACCGUUUGCAAAAUGAAGUUUUAACGAAGAAGAUAUAAGAUCGUCUAUCAUAAAAAACCCGACCGAUUUGGAACAGGGCUUAUUAUUUUUAGAAGAGUAAACUGUCGGUUUAUCCCCUGAACUUUCACCUCACUUUCGAUUUCCCCCCUGAACUUUUCCAUUGGAAAAUUAAGGACUCAAACUAAUUUUUUUAGCCAAUUUGCCCCCUACCGUUAGUUUUUCAUAUAUUCCAUCCAUAUUUCCGUUAAGUGAGACCAUGUGCACAACAUGUGAGGGUAGUUAAGUUAUUUCACUCUUAAAAAUGAUUAAAAAACUGAAAAUAAUAAAAAAAGCAAAACUUUCCCUCUAUUUUUUCCCGCUAAUUCCUAUCCUCGAUUUUAUUUUUCCCUCUCAUUCCUAUGCAUGAGAAAUGACAUAUGGUGUUAUUGUCUACCAUUUUUAUUUUCUCUAACAAAUUAAUAAUUUGACAAAUGCUAAUGGUGCUAUUGUCUCCAAAGCAGUGCAUUAAUAUAAGAAACCCUAGUCUUUUUUAUGGACAUGUUUCUUAUAUUAAUGCAUUGCUUUGGAGACAAUAACACCAUUAGCAUUUGCCAAAUUAUUAAUUUGUUAGAGAAAAUAAAAAUGGUAGUACAUGCUUCAAAAAAAAGAUUAACUUAGCUACUUAUGAAGACAAUAACACCAUAUGUUAUUUCUCAUGCAUAGGAAUGAGAGGGAAAAUUAAAAUUGAGGAUAGGAAUUAGCGGGAUAAAAUAGAGGGAAAAUUAUUAUUAUUAUUUAUUUUCAGUUUUUAAUCAUUUUUAAAUUGAAAUGACUUAACUAUCCUCACAUAUUAUGCACAUGGUCUCACUUAACGGAAAUAUGGAUGGAAUAUGAAAAACUAACGGUAGGGGGCAAAUUGGCUAAAAAAAUUAGUUUGAGUCCUUAAUUUUCCAAUAGAAAAGUUCAGGGGGGAAAUCGAAAGUGAGGUGAAAGUUCAGGGGGUAAACCGACAGUUUACCCUUUUUAGAAACCCAGCUAGUGAGUUAACCCGUUGACUAGGUUUCACUGCCCCAAUUCGCUAGGCAAAAUUUCAACACGUUUUCGACGUGAUGUGACAGUUUCAGCAACGCCAUCACUUGGGUAUUCCCUUCAACACCACAAACAAAAGCCACCAAACUUCACCAUGAUCGACUAUCAAGCUUGAAAAUUCUGAGUUUUGGUGGUUUGCGAUCUAGCCCUUUCUAUUGUAAAUGUCGGCGACCACCACCAUUAUCGAGAAGCCUUCGACAUCUAGAGAAAAGCCCUAGCUUUGGAUUGGAUGUUAGUGCAGCAGUGGCGCAAUGAGGUUCCUGACUACCCAUGGCUUUUUCGACUAAUUUUGCCUUUUUUCAUCCCAACCAACCUCCAACAAAGGUAUAAAACUUACUCCCCUUGUUGUAAGCUACGUUUUGGAAUUGACUGGAUUCUGGCAAAGGUUGGUUGGCGCACCGUCGUGUAUGGCGUGCGUGGCAUGAUGACCUAGUUUGUCUCCGUAAGCUAAAUUUGAUGUCCUGAACCCUUUUCCAAUGUUCGUUUGACAAGAUUUGAUCAUUUGAACAUAAUUCAAUAAUUGACUGCCACUUGACCUUUGUUGUAGGUGUUGAUCCGACAGUUGGAUCAUUAUGGAACUAUAGUAUAUGUUGUUGUUGAAGUAAUGUACUGAUGCUCUAAAGAACUUAUAGAUCUGAAAUCUAAGGUGCGGAUCCAUCAUAUUGGAAUAUUUAUGUUAUUGACCUUAGCAUGAACCAUUUUGAUCGGAGGUUAACUUUUGGUCAACAUGUCCCUAAUCAUUCUAGAAUAUUGAAGUUAGCAUUAUUAGAUAGCUGAUAUAGCCUAGUGGGCCUACCUUGGUUUGUGUGCCAUCCUGGGUGAUGUGCAUCUUAGGUGCAAGUGGCACCUUACCUUCAUUUAAGUGUUUGUUGGGUUUCUCGAUGAAUGUAUUCUAUAAAUAAUAAGCUAAAUAAUGUUUGUAUACUUCGAUAAGUUUUGACUGACUUCUGGGCCUUAAGUUGGCGUGCUUUCGAGAUUGCCUUUGCAUUGGACAUGAGGUGAGUAGUUUGUUUACUGUCUUUAUAUAGAAUACCAAAAUGCGUAUAUGCCUCAAUGUAUGUCCUAUUGAAGUUAGCAUUGCUAUGUAAUAUGACAUAGAGAUAAAGAUACUGGUAAUUAGAAUUUUUAAUAUAACUAGUAAUUAAGGGAAUCCUUUGUGAUGUUCUUUGUAUGACGAGAUGCUUGGUUGACAUGUUGAACCGAUAGUGGAUGUGAUUAUUAUGUAAAUCAUGUUGGGUUGAUGUAUGGUGUAUGACGAGUGAUAAUGUGACUGCAUCAUGUAGCAGUAUGGUGCAUGGAUGGUCCUACUUGGUUAAUUCGCAUUGGGGGACCAUGCAAUUAUAAGCAUGCCUAUGGUUUUGCUUGGUUAAUUUGCAUUGGGAAACCAUAAGCAUCUAAAAGUGAUCAUCCUUGGUAAAUCGGCAAUUGGUGACCACUUCCAAGUUAGAUUCCAUUGAAUUGGUCUGGAAUAUUACUUCAUAUAUGGUUUUUUUUUAUUUGGUCUGAAAACCCUAUAUUCUGUUAUAGAGUUGAAACUUAUCGUGCAACCAGAUAUAAAGUAAGAUCUAAACCUUAUAACAAUUCCUUUCGAAUUACUUUCUUGUAAUCCGAUAAUAAAGGCAAUCGACGGUACAAAGAUUUCCAGACCAAUUCAAUGGAAUCCAAGGUUUGCAGACCAACUCUGUUAUAGAGUUCCAGCCCUUGUGAAACCAGACCUGGAUUUUUUUUCCUUCCUCCCCAUUUAUUUAUCAGUUAUAAAGUUGAAACUUAUGGUAAAGUGGUGCAGUGAGGGUCACAGUAUCAACGGACAACUCUUUGCGGAGCAAAAAUUGACCGCAAAUCCAAUAAUUUUCUAUUGAAAGAAGAGUCCUUUUGAAUUUUGAUUUCCUGUAAUUAUGGCCUUCCCAUGUUAAAGUCUAAUGUAAAAAAAAUCUGAAUAAGAUGACUUCACAAUGUUAUAAAUAUUAUACGGUCUAGUGGUAUUCAUUUUCAUUUGUAAGUGAGAGGUUUUAAGUUUGAUUUUCAUCAAAGGUGAAUUUGAACUACAUUAUUGCUAGUCCACUAUGAGGCUAAGCCUUCACUCUCUCCGUUAGUGUAGAUAAUAUCGUUUGUUCCAAAAAUAAAAAAGACGCUACAUAUUUUUUUCCUGAAAAAAAUGUCUUAACUAUUUAAAAUUGGAUAAUUUACCUUUAAAGUGUAUCACAUAAAAGUUUUUGAAGUGUAAAUUGUUUCUGGUUAUUUAAUUUAAGUUGCAAUGGUCUACUUAAGUCAAUAGAUUCAAAUGUAGGGGUCUCGAUUCAAUCCAUCUAUGUGACUUUAGGUUGUAGCCAAGUGUCAUGCCAUUAUUGAUGACCGUGUGUAUGGCUUAGAUUGGAUUUAGCGCAAAGGUGUAAGAGAAUGUUUUGCUAAUUUGCGCUCUGCAAUGAAUUGAGCUGCACCUUUCCUUACACAGAAAUAUACAAAACGUUCUUCGUUCUUUGAGUUUUUCUUCAGUCUUAUUUCCCAAUCCGUAACUUAAAAAAACAACAUCAAAUACUAAAAACCAACACAAGUCACGUAAUUUAAAUUGAAAUAAAACUAAAUAGCUUACAAUCUAGUAGAAGGGAAGAAUUUGGAGGUUUUAAUGAACUUAAGGACAUUUGUUUGAAAAAAUAUCAUUAAGGAACUUAAUUUUUUAAAUGGUAGGAUUAUGAGAGAUAUGUUGAAAAGUGUGUAAUUAAGGAAAUGAACUCAAAUAAAAACUAAAAAUUAUUUUUAACUUGUAUUUAUUUUGAAGAUUUUGUUUUUGUUCAUUUUUCUUUGUUUCCUUCAUUCCCUUCCACCAGUAUUCUUCAUCCCUCAUUUUCGCCUCCACUCUUCUUCAUCCCACAUUUCCUCCAAAUAAUUUCUCCAUAACUCAAACACAUAAAAAUGAAAACUAAAAAUAGAAAACAUUUUGAUUAUCUCACAAAUAUGAUCUCACAUUUACACCGUAUAAUUUCCCUUUAUAUUUAUGGAAUAAUUAUUAGCACUUAAAAGUCAUUAUGCACUCUUUAAAUAUAUAGAUUUGACAAACCUGCGUUAUAUCUAUCAAAGACAAGGAGCAAGAAAUAAUUGCUUGGUCAAAAGCCAGUAAUUUCUUUCUAAUUAAUAUGUGUAGUAGAUUACCAAGAGAAAUUUACCACAAACAUUCAUCGUUUCAGCAAAAUAAUGUAAAUUAGGGUUUUCUUGGUUGAGGCAAUAGUAGGACUUCAAGCUAGGCAAGUAAUUAUGCAACUUUGAUCGUAGCAUGCAUGUCUUACUAGCAAGUUACCAAAAUUUAUUUUAAAUAAAAAAGAGUGAAUUCUUGAUCAAUUGAAAUUUACCGUCCACCAUGCCAGUGGAAGGUAUAUACAAAGGAUCGAUCAUCACUUAUUUAUUCAUUUUCUUUAUUCUUAAUAACCUACUUAUCUUCUUAGAUAUAUCCAUCAGCAAAAAUUGCUAGAGUGGUUGUUGUUCUUCCAUAGCUAGUAAGGCUUCUCCCCAACAUAGUUGCCUGGGGGAUCAUAGUUGCAUCCAAUGAAGGUACCCCCACUGCUGCACCUCACUUUUGCGCACCCUACACGAGCCGACUUACGCCAAACCACCUGUGUAUAAUGCCCACACACCUUUCCAGCAGCACACGAGUUCGACUUAUAACUGUAGUCGGCUUUCUCCUUCACCCACAGGUCCACAGCCGCUGUUCCCGACAGGUCACCAGUGCUCAUGGCAAGGUUUUCGCCGUAUGGCCCCUUGGAGUGCACAAGCUUACAGUCGCCAACACGUUGAUUGGCGUAGUUUUGUGCAUAGCGUGCUACAUUGUCAUCCCACGUCAAGGGACCAACGCCUACUGCUGCUCGAGCGGCGUUGUGGGAAUUGAGGUAGUCUUGGCGUGUGUCUUGGGCAUGAGAGGAUUGUAUUAGGGCUGAGCCUAAAAUGAAAAGGAGAGCUAGGGAAAUAUUGCACAACCCCAUUUUAACGGUUUGUUCUCUUUGU